UAGACAGAUAAGUUCAAGGGGAUAAAAGUACCGUGAGGCUUUUGUACUAGGAGUCAGAUUGCAUUUUGCCCCCUUUAUUAAAAAAUUAGGCAAAAAGCAAACUGAUCUUUUUCUAUUAAAAUUUUUAUUCAUUUCUACUGUUAAAAACUGGUAUGACUAUAUAACCACAUAGUUACACAUAGUAACUCAUUUUGAGGUACAUGAACCAAUUUUUAAUGGUAGAAAUGAAUGAAAUUUUUAAUAGAAAGAACUAAUUUUCCUAUUUUUUAAGUAAAGGAGCCAAAAUGCAAUCUGACUUCUAAUACAGAGGCCUCCAUGGUACUCUUACCAUUCAAGGAAAAUUUAUGCAAUCAAGUAUUAAAGACUUAAAGUUAAUAACUUCAAAUGCUUUUUCACUUUCAACUUCCACUGAAAUUAGUUUACCUGUAAAUGGUACAGUAUUUCAUGAUUCAGUGGAAGCUUCUCAUCGAUAACAAGGUCAAGGUAAGAACGUAUCUCUUUUAACCUUGCAUCUAAACCCUUCAAAGCUGUGAGUUUUCCAGUUACCUGUUAUUAAAACCAAGGUAUAUAUACUCCUAUUGUAAAAAUUUUCCAUAAAAGUAAAAGCUCUAUUACUAACUGGAAUUGAAAAAAUAAAUAAAGAAAGAUAAAAAGACCUCAGUUGCGAGUGUACUAAUGGUUGUAUCUUUUACAUCCCUUAGCAAGUGCUCAACUCCUGUUUGUGAGCGAAAAUGGAGUUAUAUUGGUAACAAAAUAAAAAAAGGGUAACUUUCUGAAAAUAUAAAAAUAUUUCAUCCAAGGGCAUACCGAUCUCUUCAACUUCAUGAGCAGCAAUUUCUGAAGGAACAUGAACGAAAAUCUUUUGGCUCUUUUGAGUGGCAUUCUGCAACAUUACUGGCAUAUUAGUUCAAAUUCCCAACAAAUACAAACAAAAGGCUGCAGCUUCUUAAUAUAAAAAGAACUGCCAUUCCGCCUCAAGAGUCGAGCUCUCUCUCUCUCCAUCAUGCAAAUUUAAAAAAGAUGCAUACAAAAUGGUUCUUACCUCCUUAACCUCUUCAACAUCAUAGUAGGCCUUAGUAGGGAUACCCAACUCCUUAGGUUGGACAUCGAUGAUGACCAAGACAGGAUUCGGGACAUAGCUGCAACACCAAAAGCACUUGGUUAAAAGAUUGGACUUUUAAAAUUGAAGUUAAAAACCAUAUGAGAAACCACUAUUAAUAGAAUCUUACUUGUGGAACAAUCUAUGAAUGUCUAGGUCAUUUUCCCGCAACUUUGGGCCGGUACUAUACCAACCAACAACAUGCUCCUUGGCUAAAACAAUUAUCACAACAAAUCCAGAUUUAAAGAACAUUAAUUACUUCUUCACAGCCGAAACAAGAAAGGAGAAAGAACAAAUGAACUAAAAGUAGCAUAAUUACCAUUAAUCCUCUUGAACAUCGAAAACAUUGAUUCAUGGUAGUUGUGGUCGAGAAACCAUAUGCUCGGGUCCUUCUCAUCUUCCUCGAAAGGCACUGAAAAUUCAACAUUCAACUCUUAAAAACAUUGAUAAAAAUAACAAUGGUGAAUCACGUGUUAGCACAAGCUCACGAUACUAAGAAAUUAUUCUUUAAUUGCAUCAUCUUCAAUAGCAUACAUUCUUUGCCUUCAAUUCAAUAAAUUCAACCAAAGAAGAGGGACCUUUAGGUCAUAUUACCCAACAUUUGCCUUCAAUUUACCCAAAAAAUUCAACCAAAAAAGAGGAACCUUAGGUCAAUUUACCUAACAUUUGCCUUCAAUUCCAUAAAUUCAAGCAGAAAAGAGGGAUCUUUAGGUCAAUUAACCCAAUAUUUGCUUUCAAUUCAAAACCCAACAUAUUCUGAGCUAAAAAACCCUAAAGGCCAAAACCCAAAAUUACUCUAAAAAAACCCAAUAAAUUAACAAUUACAAUUCAACCCAAACAUCAUCUCAAUCAAAGAUCAUGAAAAAAAUAAGAUCUAGAACAAAAGCAAAACAAAUCAGAUCUAGAAUGAAAUCCAGAAAAAAAUAAAAAAAAGUGAAAAAAAACGAAAAUAAAUCGGGGAAACCUGCGUAGCUGUUGGAGACAUCGACGGUGCCUUUGAAGGAAGAACCAAGGAGGACCCCGACGACGCGCUUGCGCGUGUCUUUAGCGACGCGAUUGUAGUUAUCGACGAUACUUAAAAGAACCAAAGGAUGAACUAUUACCUUCUCUAUGGGUCGAGAUGAAAUUUGCUGGGUUUUAAUUACAUCCAUUAUGAACUUUGGGUUUUUAGGUUUUUGGUUUUGUUUUUUCUCUGCCAAAGUGUGAGACUUUGCUUCUUUGCUUUUGGUUUCGUAUUGCUCUUUUAAGAGACUGAUGAGUAUUUUUUUUUUCUUGCGGGACGGGAAACCAAGGGACUGUAGAACAUUAAAAGAGACAUACUUUUGGUUUUAGUCCCUCUAUUAUGUUUAAAUAUGUGAUUAAUCCCUCUAAUUUGUUUCUUUUUCGAAAGAUCUCUAAUUUUAUUUGACAAAUUUUGAUCAAUCACUUUUAUAAUUUUGUUCUCCAAUUUUAAUUUAAAAUUUUUAUGAAUUAAUUUGAGUGAAAUGAAAUUCAAAUUAAAUUCAAUAAUUUUGUUUAAAUUAAAUUAAAAUAUUUUUAAUAAAUUUAAUUAAAAUUUUAUUAACAAUCUGAAUAAGUUUUAGAACUUGUUAGAAAAUUUUAUAUUUUUUAAUAAAUUUUUGGGAAAUAUUUAUAAUUUUUAAUGUUAUUUUGAAUUUUUUUAACCUUUUUGAAGCUUUGAAAUUUUUUUAUUAAUUUUUAAAUAAUAAAAUUUUUAAGUUUUUUGUAAGUUUAUUACUUUUGAAUCUUUAUAAUUUUAAGAUUUUUUUCAUAAAAUUGAAAAUUUUUAUCAAAUUCUUUUUACGAUCUUUAGAAUUUUUUUCAUUAUUUAUAUUAUAUAAUUUUAAUAAUUAGGAUCGGUUGAAUUUUUAAAAUUUUGAGAUAAAAAUAGAAGGACCAAUUUAUUUAUUUUUUAAGAUAAAGAGGAUUAAAUGGAUAAUUACACUAAAGUAAAAAAUAGAAAAAUCUUAUAUCACAAAUAACAUGGUUUUGUUAUUUACAUUUUUGGAUAUUCUAAUUUUAAAAUUAAAACUCAACUCAAAUACAAAUAGCUUGAUCUAACAAUUUGAAUAACUUUAAUAAAUUAUUUUGAAUUAUUUUAUUUAAAUCGAGUUUAUUAAAUCUUAAAAUUUAUGGCCCCUUUGGAUGAGUGUUUAUCUAUAGUGCGGUGCGUUUAACUUUAUUUUUGUUUCAUGCUAUAAUAUCGCUAUAGUAUUUAAUCUCACCACCACCGCUGUUUUUACAUAUAAUAUCGCUAUAGUAUUUAAUCUCACUACCACCGCUGUUUUUACACUAACCAGAAGUAAACGCACCACCCAUCCAAAAAGAUAAAUUUUUUGUUUACCUAUUGUGAAUUUUAUAAUAUUAUAUAUAAUUAUUUAUAUUUUUAUGCUAUAAAUUCUAUUUUUCGUUGGUUUAGAUUAUAGUUUUGAUAGACUAAUAUGUUUUUGAGUAUAGCCAAAUCUAUGUCCUCGUUAUAUUACUUCUACAAUAAUGAUGUCAAUUAAAUUAAAACUCAACUAACAAGGAAAAAUACAAACUAUAAAAUAAUAUCUUAAAAGCUCCGGCAAACAUCAAAAUAUCACGAAGGCAAUCGAUGUGCCGACGCACUUGCUAAAAUUAUAAGUAGCUCUAAUUUUUUUAAGGAACUUUCUUAAUAUGAAUUUUAAUGAAAAUUAUAUAUUAUAUUUUGAAAUGUUUAACUUUAUGUCUAACAUUAGCUUGAUUGAUAUAAUCGAUUUACUUAUGUACUGUACUGUUGUUUAAUUUACAUUAUAUUUUUUUACUAUAAAAACUCGAAAAAUAGUAUCAAAUGAAACCCGUGAAAAAUUCAAAGUUCAAAGUACAAUUCGAUAUAUGAAAUUUUCUUUUAGAGAAAAUCUAGAUAUAAUUAAAAGAAAACAAUAACAAACAAAGGCAACUAAGGCAACUAAAAAUUUGAAGCUUGUUUUUUCAACCUCCUCUCUUCCUGUGGUAUAGGCUUUGAUAGGAUCAUUUGUUGGCAGCAACAGAGGGAUUAGUCACCUAACACUUACAUUUAAACCAAAUCAAAUUGCUAUUGCAAAGUAGCAAUGAACAAACAGACCAUUAUAUCAUGCUUGGUUCACAUGAAUGGCUUAGUCAUUCUUAUCUUAUUCAACACAACAAAACCAUUUGAUAUUUUGGUUGGUUGUAAAACCUAUUCCAUUGAAUAAUUAUUACAGCCUAAUUCUUUAAAAACAAUAAAUAACAACUCAGUACCUUCUUCAAUGAAUGGCUAUUCAACGGUUCUAGUAAUAUACAAAAUUAUUUUUCUUCCUUUUCUACUCAUCUCGCAUCCUCUUCAAACUCCAUCUGAAAUUUUUUCAAGAGAUGUCAAAGAUUAUCAUGUGAGUAAGAAAUUUCUAUAUUUUAUUUAAACUUUCUCUUCUUACUUUCUCUUUACCUGUACUAUUCUCCUUAAGUUAAACCCUAAAACAAUAAACAAUUUACUGUGUAAAACGAAGAGGGGUUUAAAAGAACAACAGUCCUAUAGAGAUUACUUUAUGUUACGUCAUUGUUUCUUGUCAAAGCUUGCUCUUAUGAAUGUAUGCAUCAUCUCCAUCUCAAAUUUGUCUUUUCAGACCCUCAUACAUCAGUUGAAUAAAGAAAUUUGUUGAUGGUAUUAAUGCUUUGGACUAAAGCAUAACAUUAUAUUGAUGAUAAGAGAUUAAAUCAUGUUAAAUUAAAAUAUAAAAAUUAGUUUCCAAGUUGAGUCUAGCAUUGGGAUGAAACCCCAAUUAAAUCAUUUUAUUUAUGGCUUGAUCCAAAGGAGAAGUGCUCUAAGUCUACAUAAGAUUCCAAUAAAAAAAUACAUGAAUUUAAAAUUGAAUCGAAGCUGUUGAAAUAAUCUGAAAAUUAUAAACGCAUAUCACUGAUAGGAUUAUCGAAGAUGCAUGUAACCAUAUAAAAGGAUCAAAUAAAUUUGGGAAAAGUAUUCUAUAGUAAAAGUUAGAUUGUAUUUUGAUCAAAGAAUAAACUGAUAAUUUUUAUGAAAAAUUUCAUUCAUUUUUACUAUUGAAAACUAGUGUUUCUAACAUAAUAGUUAAAUAGUUAUACAUAGUGAGCCACGUGUACUUUAUUUUGAUAUGUAUGAACAUAUUUUUAACAAUAGAAAUUGAUGAAAUUUUUAAUAGGACUUACUCUUUAAUCUGAUGUACAAGAGUUAAUUUACCCAUUUUUUAAAUAAAUAGUACAAAAUAUAAUCUGACUCUUAGUACGAGGUUCUCAAUAAUACUUUUACCAAAAAAUUCUUAAGAACCUUUUUCAUUUAGGACAGUUGUUUUAAAUGGUCUUAUUAAUGCUCCAAGCCCCAUAAAUGUUGGCACAUUUAAGGCCCAUCUCAGAAACAAAGCCAUUUUUAUCACUUAGUUCAAAAACAGGCCUGGCCUAAGUUAGAAUCCAAUAUUACUUUUGCAGUUUGCUUGUAGUUUUUUUCCCUGUUGAAAUCGGAAGUAUAAUUCAUGUUUGUUUUAUAGCUCAUAGAGUAAUUAUUUUCGGGACUCGUACCUGUCCUCCCAAUAAUAUUAUAUUUUAAUUCAAAUUCCAAUUUUUUCAUUGAAAGUACAAUGUACUUUAUCAUUGCAUCGGACAUUUGUUGAUCAAUUAUCCACGUUUUUUGGUAGAAAAAAAACAGCAUUUAGCGAUUACAUCAAAAUUGAAUCAAACCUGUGUAAAGGCAUCACUAUCAAAAAGAAAAACUCCUUGUACUAAAGACGGGGUUCCUCAAACAACAUCAAAAUCAAGGGACUUCUAUUCACGCACUUGGCCAUUCGAUUAGCAACUACAUUCUGAGCUCUUGAUAUAUGACGAAUCCUAAUCUUCCAAUCUUGUUUGAACAAUGUACUGAUUAAUCAUAAUUCAACCAGACUACUAUUAGCAACGCCACCCUCUAGCGGAUACUCCACUAAAAAUACAUUAUCACAUUCUAGUUCUAACCCUUUCUCCCAUGUUAUGAGCAAGCUUUUAAAGAUAGCACUUCAAUUCAAAAAAUCAUUUUCUUACCUACAAUCAUUGAAAAUCCAUAAAACCAUUUCACAUUCAUCAACUCUUUUAUAAAUAACAUCCUUAUUUGCAGUAAAAAAUACGUAACAAAACUCUAAGCCCUAAGCCUACUAUGGGGAAUCCAUUGACUUUGCCAAGAAUCUCCUUUUACAAAUCCAAAAUCUUCAAUAUGCAAGUCUUUAAUGUGAGGUUCUUUCAUGUCUGCCACAAACUAGCCAAUCCAUUCGUGCAAAGGGAGGCAAAUGAUAGUGGAAACUAAAGAAGAAAUUCACUUUAAACAUGAAGUUGUUAUCAUUCUUAUACAAAAAAGAAAAAAAAAAAAAAACCCCAUUAACUCGAAACUUGAAAAAGACUUUGCCAUAGAUAUUCUUUUCAUUUUUUUCUAUGCAUUUUCCCUUCAAAUGUUUGAGGAGAUAUCUACCAAACUGAUUCAUUUGCACAUGUAGCAAUUCCUAAUGUUUUGUAGGUCAUGAAUCCCACUUAUUCGUUUUUGGUGGAAGACUCUUUUAUAUUUGGUAGGGUGUUCAAAUUUUCAAUUUAAAUUUAAUUUAAUAAUUGAAUUGCAUUUUUUGGUUAAUUGAUUGUUUAUCAUUAAUUUUAUAGUUUGGACAAAAAAAAAUAGGAUCAUGGGUAAGCUUUUUCGGCCUAGGCUCAACCCAAAUUUUUUUAAAAAAAUGUUAUUUUUUUACUGUUUUUUCAUUGUUUUAUCAUUUUGCUGUUAUAUUACUACAUUUUGUUGUUAUUAUUUAGAUAUUGUAUAACUCUUAUUUUAUUAUUAAUUUUGCUACUAUUUUAGAGGUAUUUGCUUACUAAAUUGCACUUAAUUAUCUUAGUGUUAUUUAAGGAUUUUUUUCAUUUGUUAGGAAACAUUUAUUUUAAUGUUUUUAGUGUAUUUGAUGUAUUAUAUUUUUAAAUCUUUUAUAUAAAAAUUUUAAUACAUGCGGGACGAGUUAGGCUUGGACAAAAUUUUAGGCUCAUUUAUCGACAAAACAAGACUAUAUUUUUUACUUGACCCUACCCAAAAUUGGCCUGGCCCAUAAACAACUCUAAUUAUAUUUUAUUGCAAUUUUUUUUAAUUCCGGUUUUUGAUUAAUUCUAUUUGGUUGAAGUUAACCAACUGAAUUACAUGUUUAAUUAAAAUUAAACUCUAAUUUACCGAUCAAAAUGAAUUUUUUUGUUUAAUUGGUUGGUUGUUGAUUAUACUUCAAUUGAUGAUCAGAAGAGAUUUUUUAAAAAUUUCGAUUUUUAAUUAAUUCGUUUCAGUAAAGGUUAAUGAACCAAAUUAACUAGACUGAUUAUUUGAAUAUCUAUAACAUCUAAUAACCAUGAUAAGUCUCGAUAAAAUUUGUGAUAUUAAGCUAGUCUAAAUCUCUAAAUAGAGUCAAAACUCUAACCCUAAACCUUUUACUUAAAAGGGCAUCACAAGAAUCCUUGACCUACUAGGAGUUGGUCAUGAAUGCGCCACUUAUUUGUUGUUAUAGCAAAGGUAAAAAAAAAAACCUUUAGCUUUGUUCCAAGCAACCCUAACCCUAAACUCUAUAUCUAAAUGAAGUGUUUGGAUAUGAAAAAGUUGUUCCAAGGAACCCUAACCCUAAACCCUAUAUCUAAAUGAAGUGUUUGGAUAUGAAAAAGUUGUGGAAAGGGGGGACUAAAAUGAAUAAGAAAUGCCAAAGACAAAUAAAAGAAAGAUAAAGCACCAUUCAAUGUCCCAUGCUGAAUAUAACAACCUUAGAAAGUGGGUCAGAAAAGAGCUGAAAGCAGGGCAAAAAGACAAAGCAAAGGUAGAGAGGUUUUCACGUGUAAAGUGGAGGGAAGAAGAAGACACUCUUUAAAUCCUUUAUAUGAGUAUUUUAAAAUAAAUAAAAUUUAGUCACACUAAUAUUAUAUGCAUAGAAGGCGAAAUAAGCAAAUAAAAAUGUUUAAGUAUGAGUAGGGGUGAAAUUAGAAUUUUUUUUGGAAGGGUUAAAAGUAAAUUAUAAAUGUUUAGGGGUUAAAAUGAAAUUUUAUCACUGUAUUAAAUUAUAUUCUUAUAAUACCCAAAGGGGCUCUUAAACAAUUCCAUCACUUUGGGGGGGGGGGGCUUGCCACUGAGUAUGGGAUUGUAAGACUUUUUAUUUUGAAUUUGAGAUUGUAAGUUUCUUCAACAUUAUUUUAAAAAUGUCGAACAAUCUAAUGUAAUGAAACUUUUAUUAUGGUGUUAUUAAUUAGAAUUCAAUUAUUAAAUCAAAAGAGAAAAGAGACUAAAUUUUUUAGAUUAAAAGUAAAUAAACUAAAUUUUAAAUUAAGUGAAAAAUAUAGGGGCUCAGACAUAAUUAGAUCAUAUAUAUAUGUCCCCUACACCCAAUAAUGGCUGCGAGACUAUGCCAGCCCCCUAUUAGGCCCAUGAAGGCCUGGUUUUAGAUUUUGAGGGCAAUUAAUUAGUGUUAAGUUUGUGAUAUGGUAUAUGUAGUCUUGAAUUUUCGGAUGAAAUUUUUGAUAAGGACAAUAUUAAACUUAAACUUUAAAAUAAACAUAAAAAUACCUCCAAAAGUAAGGAUUUAUAAUUUUCUUUUACGAUUAUUCAAUCACAUGAGACUACAUGGAAAUCAGAUCAACUAUGUUCAAUAUAUAAUAAAUUAAAUAUUCUUAGAAUGUUUCAAGACUAUUUUUUUUCUAAAACGAAAACCCAUGUCACUAAUUUUGUAUAAAGAAUUAAAUUAGAGCAUAAAGGAUUAAAUUUAUUUUCUGUAUAAUAAAGGGACUAAAACCAGAAUUAAACCUGUCAAUCACCUGCAAAUUGGCUCAUGUGUCUCAUGAGCUUUUCUUUUUUAUAGCUUUGUGGAGCCCAUAAUAAGUCAUUUACUUACAAGUGUGAAAAAAAAAACCCUCUUUUGUACUCAAAUAAUAAUGGGGAUAGAGGAAUCCUCUUAGUCAAAAAGAUGCCCACAAAUUCAAUGGUGCCUAUAAUCUGAAAGGACAAAUCGAAUUGGAAAAAAAUAAUCAUUUGAUAAUCAGUUUGAUUGGAUUCCAUCAAAGGGUCUCCAAAUAUAUCAAAAGAUUCCAAGCUAAAAACAAUUCUAAAAUAGGCACAAGAGAUAAUAGGUUUCUUAUUUAUUUAAUUAUGAUUUUAAAUAAACCAUGUGUUUAUUGCUGAUAAAAGUUAAAAAUAGUGGUUACAGUAAAGUUAAUUACUAUAAUUAUAAGAUAAAAAAUUUUACCACACUACAGUAAUCACUCAUUCAAAGUCACACUAACAAUAAUCACUCAUUCAAAGUCACACUAAGUUAUAAUUUUCAUUUGUUAAGUAGACAAAGUUAUAGUAAUAAUUGUAACAAAGAUAUUAGAAAUGUUAGAAGAAGAGAAUAAUACAAAUGGACAAACAUGGAGGGAUGAGCAAGGAUGGGAUAUAAGAGGAGAGAUGGUUUGAAGUUUACAUCAUUUCAAAUAUGAAUUAAUUUUGAGAUUUUGAUUUAUUUCAAGUUUAAACAUUUUAAAUUUAAAUCAUUCAUUCUAUUGAUUGAAUUUUUUUUAAAUCAAGCUAUUUGAGAGUUAAGUCAUUCAAGUUUUAAGAUUUGAAACUUGGGGCUUUGAUAAUUUCAGGUUAUUAGCAGUUUUAACAAAGAUAUUAAGCAAGAAAUGUUAGAAGACAAUGAUUCACAUGGACAAACAUGAAGGGAUAAGGAUGGGGUAUUGUUGAAUGGGUUGGAUUGAUUUUGAAUUAUUUCGAGUUCAAAUUAUUUUUAAUUUAAAGUUUGGGAUUCAUUUUAAGUUCAAGUCGUUUCGAAUUUAGACUAUUUUAAAUUUGGGUCAUUUGUGUUUGCUACUCAAGUUUUUCGAAUCAUGUUAUUUCAAAAUCAGAUUAUUUAAAAUUUAGGGUUCGACACUCGCAUUUGAAUCAUUUCAAAUUAUUUGUUUGUAUCUCUUAUUUUAGAUUAAUUUAUUUUUAAUUUUAAAUAUUUUUCAUAUCCAACUAAAUAAAAUUAUAUUAUUUAUUUUUAUAAUCAUGGAAGGGAGGCUCCAAUGUUGAAUGUUUGUCUUGGAUAGCUCCAAAUGACUAAAUACACACCCCAAGCUACCUCAUUCGAUUCAUUUUAUGUCAUCCAAAGGAGCCAUUAAUGCUCGAAUUGACAAUCUAUGAGAACUAUAUACAUCAUAAUUUGCCCCUCUUAAUGUAGGUAAAUUAACAUAAAAAAUUAUCAAAUAAUAUGUUCAUAAGGUGAUGAUAUGCACCUAAGUGAACAAGUUCAUAUUUGAGCAAUGGGUCCAUUUGUGGGGUGUGGGGUACCAUUUAACAGCUAAGAAAAUAAUUGGGGUUUGUGAGGGGAAUAGUCAAGCUGUAGGAGACAUAAGCAUUUAACUCUAAAAUAACCCUUAUCUUCAAACAUCUAAAUGGAUCCCACAUGUUAUUUAUUGGAUUUAUAUGGGACGGAAUUAGAAAUUAUUUUUAAAAGAUUAUAAUUGAAUUAUGAAUUUUUAUGAGAUUAAUAUUUAAUUUUUUCUAGAAUAAGGUAGAUGUUGAUUACGAAUUUUAAAACUAUUUUAUACACAAAAUAAAAAUCGAAAUCUUGACUACUGAUUAAAGUAAAAAAAUCCUUUAUUAUUUCACUUAACUUCCAUGGGUACAACAAUUUUAUAUCAAUUCUUCUGAUUAUAACUGAUGGAUCUGAUUCUACUACAAUCACAAUGUAUGAAUACAAUUUCCUACCUAUUUUUGAAGAAUAUUAUAUAGGUGUUGAUGGCCUAAUGGACCUUUAACAAAACCCAAAACUAGUCCUCCUAGUUUUGAAAAUAAUGGAAAUCCAAAUAAAAUUCAAAGUGUUGGCUGAUGAAAUUGUGUAGCAGGUAGAAAACAUUGAAAAGAUUGAUGUGAAAUUGAAAUCCAGGCACCUUUUUCUUUCUCCCCUCAUUAAGCCUAGAGAUUUUCAGGUUUUUUCCAUUGAAUGGGAAAAUGAUGUGAAAAUGAAAUUACACCUGUUAAGCAUACAUGUUUUAUACUCUUAACUUGAUUGAUGUUGAUAUUAUUAUUAGUACAGAAAUAUAAGGUUUUGAAUACAUUGAAUCGUAUUAUCCUCUUAUUUAAAGGUUAAGAAAAUGUUAUGGGUAAUUUUAAGUAUUAUAUUAACAAAAAGUAUUGGUAUUCCUCUUCAAUUCCUCACUUAUUCUUUUUAUACUUACUUAAAUAUAUUUUAAUUAAAUUCUCUAAAUAUUAUUACCAUAUUAAUCAUAUCUUUUUAUUAAUGUAAUUACGAGUUUGGAUGUUAAAUUGUAGCUCGAAUAUGAUAUGAAGUAUAUUUAAAACAUGUAAAGCAAGUUUUAAAAAUUGAUGUUCGGUUAGCAAAAGUACAUGAUUGAUAUAAUACUUGAUACUUGCAUGACUGAAUUAAAACAUUUUGAAAUUUAAGAAUCAAUUUAAAAUUAGAGUUAAAAUUUAAGGAUGUUUAUUGUAAUUAACCCAUUAAUUAUGUUAUUGAUUUGAUUAAUUAUGAACUAAUAAUGCGAUAUUGUUUAGAGCAUAAUUGCAUCAGUAAAUCAAAGUUGAUACUACAAUGAUAAAAAAAAAAUACUUCAUUGAAAUAUUAUUGUAGCUUAAGGGUGGAUUUGGAUGGACAGUGCGUUUACUCGUAGUUAGUGAAAAUACAACGGUGACAAUGAGGUUAGAUAUUAUAGCGUGAGACAAAAAGUAAGCUAAAUAUACCCACCCUAAAUAUUUAAUUGAAACGAUAUAAAAGUUAACCCAUAAAGUGAGAAUGCAAUUAACCUUACUGUUACGGGUAUACAUACAUUUUGUUAGAUGAAUUUGACUUCAAGAUUUAAAUUGGUAUUUAAGAUUUUAUUUUUAUCCAAUUAGGUAUUUGAACUUGGUUACUUGAUUUAAAUUGGUACUUGAACUUGUUUGAACCGAUUUGAAUUAUAAAGUCAAGUUCAAGUACCUAAUUGGACAAAAAAUGUUAGGUAUUGAAUUGAACCUUGAGGUCAAGUUUAGCUAUCUAAUUGGAUAAAAAAAAUAAACCCUUAAGUACCAAUUUGAACCUUAAAGCUAAGUUUAGGUACCAAAAUGUAUAUUUACCCUACUUUUAUUCAUUAGCCAAUUUUUUUACCGAAGACCUUUUUGAACAACUCUCACAUGGCUAUGUAACCAAAAAGCUAGGCAUCCGACAAGUCUCCUAAUCCAAUACCAUCACCAUUAUCAUCUUUCCCAUGGGCCAAAAAUUUCUUUUAGAUCCCUAAUUUAAUUACUCUUUUUUUUUGGCCUUCUCUUAGAAUUACACUCGAUUUAAAAAAAAACACCCCCAAGCUUGUUGAAUUUCACAAUAUAUAGCUUUGAAAUACACCAAAUAUUGAAGUUGCAAUUUUGUCAUGCAAGUUGACAAAUUUAUUUGCCCAUAUUGCAAUUGCUAUAUUGAAGUUGUCAACACAUAUAUAUGGUUGUAACUUGUGUAGAUUUUAGCUUACUCUAAAUUUCUUGGACAAAGAAUUUGUGUUUGCUCACUAAAUUUAAUGUAUAUUUUUUACAAUAUUAGGGGUAAGGGAUGGGGAUAACCAGAAAUAUGACAAGUAGGGGCGAAGUUAAAAUCUUUUAGGGGGUCGGAUUAAAUGAUAUAUUUUUAUGAUAAUAAAAAUGAGAUUUCGUCAUUUUAAUAGCUUAUAUCUUUAUAAUUUUUAGAGGAUUAAAUCAAAUUUUUAUAAUUUUUUGGGAGCCAAAGUACAAUCUUACCAUUACUAAUUUAAAAUUGUAUAGAUUAUAAAGAGCCUAAAUAAAAAAAAGAAAAGAUUUUACCAACCCCUAGAUCGGCCCCUGAAUAUAACAAAGUUUGAACUCGUUUCAAAUGAGUGUCUGACAAGAACUUUAACCAUCAUUCCAUUCAAGUUAAGACAAUUUAAUAUCUACUUUUAAUUUCAUCGAAUUAAAUAAAUUUCAUCUAUUAUAUUAAUUUCAUUAAAUCAUUUUAAUGUGAAAGAUGACUUAGUAUGCAUGGAUAAUUUUAUUAUUUUAAAACAAAAUUAACUUUGAGAUUUUGUGAUUGAGUUGUAUAUAUUUUGAGCCAAUUUUUUUAUUUACAAGAAUUACUCAAAUGAAUUAGCAUAAGUUUUUGGUUAUUUAAUUUGAUACCAAACAAUCCCAUAAUUUGGAAAUGUUAGAGAAUUGGUCUUAAAAAAUUCAAAAUUAAAGGGUGAAUUACAUAAAUAUCACUUAUAAGCUAAGAUUAAAUUUAUAUUCCGGUUGCGAUGUUACAUUCCGGUCACUCGUCCAUUAACUUGUGUUACCCCCUUAUUAAAAUGACGAUGUAACAAAGUUAACUCAAAGGAUUAUACCCUUGAAAAAUAGUUAAAAAUCAGUUUGAUACUUUAAGAAUUUUCUAGAGAUAAUUUUAAAAUUAAAAACCUAAAAAUUAUUAAAAAAAACUUGAAAAUUCAUAAUUAUUUUUUAUGUACAAUAUACCAAUAAAAAAUCACAUUAAACUACUAAUAUUUAGCGGAUUCUUUGCAAACAGUUGCAAGCCCUCAUUCUAGUCAAAAGCUAACUUUGCAAUGCGAUCAACUUCCAUGUUUUCUUCUCUAAGGAUAUGAACAAAUUUUCAUUCUGUUGAAUUCACCUGAUAAGUGGUGAAUGAGAAGGCCUAGUAAACAUUUCCUUAAUAGAUUGUAUAACCUCCAUGCUACCUGUCUGAAUUGACGCUUUGUCCCAUUUCUUGUUUUGAAGAAUAAUCAAUCCAUUAGAAUACCCAUAAUUCAGCAUUGAAUACAAAACACCACCCCAAUCUUCUAUUAAAUCCAAUAAUCCACUGGUCAUGAUGAUCCUUCAGCACUCCACCUGCAACAGCUUCCUCCAAGUCCAACUUGACUGCUCCAUCAAUAUAUAAUUGGAUCCAAUUACCUAUAAUAGAGUAUGUUGUCCGUGUAUUUGACAUUCUGAUAUUUAUUUUUAAAAAUUAUAAUUAUAUAAAAAAUUCAAAAGUUCACUUGAGAUGUACAUUUAAAAAUGAAUUGGCACGAAAACUAUAAAAAUUAGAUAUUUAAAUUAAUAAGUAUCGAGUGUAGUAACAAUGCAUAUUGUAUUUCUAAUGAAAAAUAUAAAUUUAAACAUUGAAAAUAAUAUCAUUAAAAAAAUAAUCAUAAACUCUAAAUAUAAAUAGUAAAUCAAAGAUAAAAAAAUACCGAAAAAAGAAUUACAUAUUUGAGCCUAGGAGGGCCACGUAGGAAGGAUUCUUUCAUGAAAAUUUCUAGUUACGUGUUUGUAUCAUUUUCACCAAAAGUAAUUAUUAGUCAUUUAACCACCAAGACAAAAUUUUGUGUCCACAGUAUGUUUUUGUACGUAAAAUUGGUAGUUGAGAUUGCCUUGUCCACAUUUCUCUCCACAUGGUGUCGAGUGAAGGAUUAUUGAUGAAACCCUAAUUUAUUUUUAAGAAUCAGAUUUAUAUUCUAUCUAUUUGAUAUUAAUAAUGUAUAAAUUCAUAUGUUUCUAAUUAUAUAUAUUUAACCUUUUGUUUCGUUUUGUUGAUUGAGUAUUAACUUGAUUGUUAUGAAUAUUGUUGCCAGUACAUGAGAAUGUGGGUUCAAGUGCAUUGAAGCACAUUAUCAUCCUAUUUAAAGGAUAUGAUCAGAACAUAUAAUGAUAUCAUACAAAUCAAAACUCAUCUAGGACUUUCUUUGCUCUAUUUUCAAAAGUAUACCACCGAUUGAAUCUUCGAUUCUUGAUUCAAUCGGCCGACAUGAUCGAUCUAAUUUUGAUAACACUACCCUUCCUAACGAAAUCUAGCUUUUCGUCUUGUCAUUGCUCUUAAAGAUAUUAAUUGGGUCCAAUUACGGUUUUGUUCUUAUUCAAAUUAUGAUUUUGUUGUUAUACUAAAUUUAAUUCGAGCAUUUAGCUUCUACAUUUUAAUUCCUUUUAUCUUAGUAUCCUUAAUAUUAGGGGGAAGCUAGAUAUUCAGUUUUAAGAGGUUAAAAUUAAAUUUCAGAAGUUUGGAGGAGCUGAAAGUAAAUUUUUUUAUUUAAAUAGUGCUUAAAUUUAAUAUUUUACAACUGGAAGGGGCUAAUGUUGAAUUAAUCCAAUUAAUAUUAUACCUUAGUCAAAAUCACUAACACUAGCGUUAAUUGGUUGAUUUAACCUUAAUUUUACAUUUUCACCAUAAUUAAAGUGCGGAAAUAAAAUUUUAGAAUUGGAGAGAGGGGACAAAGGUAAAAAAUUUAUUUUAUAAAACCUUAAAUUAAAUAAUUAAAAUUUAAAAAUAACUAAAAUUAAGGGUGAAUCUAUUUCUUUUAAAUGGGCCAAAUUUUAAUUAUAAAUUUUUAAAAGGUCGAAACAUAAUUUUAUCCUUUAUUAAGUUAUAAUUUCAUACUUUUAAGAGAUUAAAACGGAUUUUUUUUUCAUUUCUGGGGCUAAAAUGUAACUUUAUAAUAUAUUAAUUUAUAAUUUUAUUAUUUUAGAAGGGACUAAGUAAAUUUGAUAUCAUUUUACUUAAUCAAAAGUCAAGAGACUUCUAUCUAUCAAGGCGAAGCUAGAAAUUUUUUUAAGGGAUUAGAAAUUAAAUGUAAUUUUUACGAUAGUAAAAAUAUAAUUUCACCAUUUUAACAGCCUAUAUCUUUAUAAUUUUUAAAAGAUUAAAUCAAAUUUUUAUCAUUUUUAAGGGUACCAAAGUGUAAUUUUACCUUUACUUAUUUAAAAUUUUAAAAAUUUUAAAGAAAUAAAAAAAAUUUCUAUUUUAGAGGGCUCGAACUCUGCCAUCCCCUAAUUUCGCCCCUAUCCAUCAAGAGGCGAAAAGAGAGGUUAGCAAUAAUCUAAAUCUUUUAAAAAUGAUAAAAUCAUCAUUUAAGUGUUUAAAAUUUUAUAAAUUAUAAAAAUAUAGUUUUCAAAUCCACUAACUUAAUUUUCUGGCUUGCCGUAUGAACUAUUGAAUUGCUUGCAAUAUCGACAAGUGAAAGUACAUUAAUGCAUAAAUAAUGAAGAAGAAUCACAUGGCAGCCAAAGUUUGAUCAUUCUCAUUUAAUUUCCAUUCCCCCCAUAGUAUAACAAAAUUUUAUAAUCUGAUCCUCUUGCCAUAUCAGAUUUUGGGUUCAAGAAACAUGCACGUUGCAAGGCUUGGAUUUUUGAACCACAAACUUGUACCAAAAAUCAAUGAAAUUUUAAGCAUAAAACAUACACCAAGGGGCAUGAACUUAGAAAAAUAUAGAGAAUCGAGGUUUAUAUAUAAAAUUUCAGAGUCAAAAGUUAAUUAUGAUUUUUACUCGAAGUUUGCAAUUUAAAUGUGAAAAGAUAGACAAAAAAAUAUGUUUGCUUCGAAUUUGUGAAAUUCCCUACAGUUUUUGUCGCUGUUGAUCUUUGCAUCGGGAAAUUCUUGCUGGCUGACACCAUCGGUGGCGCCGCCUCCGUAGGCGGUUUACUCAUCAAACAAGGAAAAAAACUGUCGUUGGCAAUUAAUAAUAUAUAAUUUUAUGGCCACCUUAAGAAUUGCUACAUUAAUAAGCAAGGUUGUUUAUAUCAUAUUUGACCAGCUGGUUGGUUUUAUUAGAUUAAAAAUUAUUGAUCCGUUAUCCGAUUAAGAUUGACUCAAUCUUUUUUACUUGGGUCUGUACAGUUCGUUUUUAUGAGUUUACACGUAGUAAGUUCACAUUAUCAUGGAAGUGAAUUUAUACUUAGGGAACAUGUGUUAGCCCUAGAAUAUGGUACGUAUUGACAUGUAUGAGGACCUAUUUAACACGUCACAUCCGUGAACCGUGUCCUAUAAAUAAAAAAAUUAGCCUCCAUGAAAGAUAAACUCACAAAAACACUCAAAAGAAAUCAGUGAAAAUAUUAACCCUUAGGAAUAAGUAGGUUAUGAAUGGCUUGAAAUCGGAUUAAAAAUCGAUUUUAUCUAUUUUAAAAAAAUUUAUAUAAAAAUUUAAUAUAUUUUUUAAUUAAACCGACGCAUUGAUUGAAUUUUUUUUCUUAUAUAAGAGAAACUAUGACCCAACACUGUAGUAAAGAAAAACUGUUUAUUUACAAAUCUUUGAUAAUGAACUCGAAACUAUAAAUACGAACAUUUAUAUAUAUAAAAUAUAAAUUAAUUAAUCAUUUGAACAGGUUGAUACUAAAUCGAUUCAAUUAAAUCAAUGAAAUAUAAAAACACAACCCAAUCAUAAUUUAACCCUUUUGCUCAUCCUAAAUACACUCUCACUCAUUUUCCGAUGCUCAUCAAUCUUGCCUGAAAUUUUUUUGAUAGCAUCUUUGGGUGUAUAUAUAUAUUUAUGACAUAUAGACACAUAUUCCUCAUAGUUUUUUUACCUUCCUCAUUCUUCGUAGACUCUAAAUUCCAUCAGAACUCGACCGUUUCUUGGUACACAAGUCCCAUGCAUGCUUUUCCAAAAUUAGAUCAGUAAUGUCGUACAUAUAUAUUCAUCUCUAAUAAUAGAAGUGGAUAAUGACGAUAAAACGAUCGCAAAGCAAGAAGAAAAAACACACACAGAUUCAAAUUUGUGCUGUAUGGUCCAUACAGAUCUCCUUAUUUUGUAACUGUAUGUAUUUCUUCAACAAGUAGCGUGAUUGGGGUCACACAAUCUCUAACAUCAUCGCAAACAAAUAUAUUUUUUUGGUAUUUUACAUAUCCGUUUUAUGAUCUAUAUUUAGAGUUCGUGGUUAUAAUUUGACUCAUUGAUUUUAAAAUUUGAAUUUACGUUUUUUCUUUAAUAAUACAAUGUAUUUUACCAUUCCACUCAAUGUUUAAUAGAAUCAAAUAUAUUAUUGAUAAGAAUUGACAUGCACUAUACAUUAGAUUCUCCAUAAUAUUAUUUGUGAUAUAUAUAUAUAUACCCAUAUAUGACAUAGAGGAAACAUAUAAUUCGAAUCCUUGUAAAUCAAAAGAUAGUGGAAGCAAAUUGAAUGUUGUGUAAUUCACCAUAUAAUAUAUAUUUACAUGUAAAUUCAAUUUGUCUAUUUAUCAACCACACGUAACACUAGCAAGUAGUACAACAAUAAUAAGUUAGGCAAGGUUUUUAUUCCAAAAUAAUGCAAACAGCUGGCAUGGGAUGGGAUGGCAGCAUAAUUUAUGAAUGAUAAUACAUGACCAAAUUUUUCGAUUUAUCUCAACAUUAAUAAUUAGAUGUAAAAUUUGGUAAUAAAAAUGAUAAUUUCAUAUCAUAUAUGCUUUUUUUUAGAUAAUGCUUAUAAUUAUUUAUAAAUAGGAGAAUAAUACAGUUCAACAUACUCAAACCUACGUCCUCCUGCAUUGACAAUAAUGCCCAUGUCAAUCGAACUAAAAUUACCCAUAGUUUCACUCCAACUCAUAAAUAGGAGGAUAAUACGCUUCAGCACACUCAAAUUCACGUCCUUUUGCAUUGACAAUAAUGCCUAUACCAAUCGAACUAAAACUCAAUCGAUAUUUCUAUAGAUUUUAUUUAAAAAUAUAAAAAAAUAAAAAUAGCCUAAUAAUUGUAAAAGAAUUUUAAUCAAGCGUGAUUAACUUGUGAGACCAAUUCAAUCAAAUACUUAAAUAUAAUAUGGAUAAGGAUAAAUUCUAACAAAGUAUAUGUAUAUAUAUGCUUUUCAAAUUUAGUCCCAUGCCUAGUUCCAAAGCUAUAAAAAGUAUAUGCUUUCAAUAAAGGUUGAUAGAAAACUCAUACAAUUUCCAAAGGAAAAUGAAAGGUAAUGCUUGAAUGUGGAAUUAAGUGCAAAGUAGAGCAUUAGUAAGUAAGCCAUUUAUAGCUUUGAUAUUAAGACUCCCCCAUAGGCCAAAGCCAGUAGGGACCAAUACUAGAUGGUUAGGUACAAAAUAGUAUAUAUGCUGGCCCUCCCUUUACACAUCUAUUUUCUUUUGAAGGUCCCCCAUUCAUUACCAAACCAAUGGAUUGUCUCUUAUCAAAAAAAAAAAUCUUCUAUUUUUAAAAUUUUUAUUGUUCGGUCAAUGAUCACCAAUGAUUAAAGAUCAUAGCAAUUAAUUUGAAAGAAUGGUUGAAUUUGUUUUAAAUUGAGUUAAUUUGGAUUAAAUUGAUUUUAAUUUAAAAGUUUUGGGGUAUAUGUGGUUUCAUUUUUUUUUCAUUUUAGUCAAAUUUAAGUUUAUGUUAUUUUGGAUUGUUGACAUUUUAUGAUAAAUUAAAUUAGGUCAAUUUAAAUUUAAAUCAAUUGAAUUAAAUUUUUUUCUUUAUUCCGAAUUGAUGGUAUAGAUAAUUAAAAGGUAAAUUAUAAAAAUAGUUAUUUUUGUUUGUUUUAAAUUAUAUUUUAGUCAUUUAUGUUUGAAAUGUUACGUUUUAAUCACUUACGUUAUUGUUUUGUUAUGAAGUGGUCACUCUACCGUUAAACCCCGUUACCUCCCUAAUGGUACGUGGCAAUCCAGAUGGGUUUUAAAUGUCAACUUGGAUAUCCAGUUGCUGAGAUGAAAAUAGGCUUUUAAUUAAAUAAAUCUAAUUUGGACUACCACGUAGGACAUCCAAGUUGGCAUUGAAAAUCCAUUUAAACUACCAUGUAAGCUAGCCGUUAGGGAGGUAACGGAGCUUAAUGGUAGAGUGAUCACUUCGUAACAAAACGAUAGCGUAAGUGAUUAAAACGUAACAUUUCAAACAUAAGUGACUAAAAUGUAAUCUAAGGCAAAUAAAAGUGACUUUUUUUUACAAUUUACCCAUAAUUAAACAUGAUGUUAAUUUUUUAUACUUAAUCUCCCUUCCCGAUUUUCAACUUAUGCUUUAAUUGUUUGAGACAUGAUCCCUCCAAAUAUGAAAAAAAUCACAAUUUUUUGGGGUCAUUGGAUUUGCCAAAUGCUUGACCAAAUCAUCAAAUUCAUUUUAGGAUGCAUGCAUAACACUGAUAAUUAAGAAAAUUAUCUGAAAACUGACAAUUUUCUUCUUUCUUUUUCAUUUUUAAAUGAUCGAAUUUCAUUAAAUUAGAGUAGUGAGUAGGUUGUAUUAAUUUAUAGGGGCUGCAAUGAUUUCAGGAUCAAAAAAUAUAUAUGGUUUGAUAGAAGCGGUGGAUGUGGGGAAUUAUUGAAAAUAUGAAAGGGAUAGACAAUAAUAUAUUGUGCUAUGUCAUAGCAUAUAGUCCUUAUGUCCCAUCUCAUUAUUCUUUAUGAAAACUUAGUUUAACCAUUAAUAUGUCUUCUUAAUUUAUUAAUUAUAUUUAUCUUCUAGGAUCACAUUGACCAUAAAUUAUAUAGGCUUUUAAUAUUAUAAACUAUACCCUAAAAUCUAGGUUCAUGUAAACAUUACAUUGAAUAGUCCCUAGCUCACAAUAAUUGAAUAUAAAACAUGCUUCAUUUGCCUGCAUCAAAAUUUAGGGUAUGCAAAUGCUUAUUUGACGAUGAAUCGAGUUUAGAAAUAGGUUAGGAUUUUUACACGACGAAGAUAAAUUAAGAAGUAUGGGAGUUUGGGCUCUAAAAUACUUUUUAGUUAAUUCAAGAGGUUCUUAGUGAAAAGAGUAAAAGCUAUAAAGUUGUAGGGGAAAAAGAUAUAUAAGAGAAAGGAUAUCUGCCUUUGAGUGCAUAUGGCCCUUAUGGUUUUGUUAUUUGGAGUUUCCAUACACCUCAAAAGGCCUCUUACCACUUAAGUGCUGUUAACCCUUUAUAUAGCACAAGUCUCUCCCAUGCUUUGUCGAUGUGGGAUUUGCUUAGUGUGCUAUGUUCACCCCUUUAGGGACUUAGUAUCCUCACUAAGGUUUGCCCCACCAUCGCUCAAUAGCCACGACAAGUGGCUCUGAUACCAAUAAAUGUCCUAGUGAACACCCAGUCUAGUAUGAUAUUGUCCGUUUUGGGCACACAUGGCCCAUAUACCUCCAAAAGGCCUUUUACCACUUAAGUGUUACUAUCCUUUUAUAUAGUCUAGGUCUCUCUUAUGCUUUGAUGAUGUAGAUUUCUCUAAGGUAUUACAUCCACCCCCCUUAGGGACUCAAUGUCCUCAUUGAGGUUUGUCCCACCAUCACUCAAGAAGCACAACAAGUGACUCUGAUAUCAAUAAAUGUCAUAGCCAACACCUAACCCGGUAAGAUAUUGUUUGCUUUAAGCGCACAUGACCCUUAUAGCUUUAUUCUUGGGAGUGCCCAUAUACCCCCAAGAGGCCUUUUACCACUUAAGUGUUGCUACCCUUUUAUAUAGCCCAGGUCUCUCUCGUGCUUUGCCGAUGAAGGAUUUGCCUAGGGUAUUACAUUCACCCCCCUUAGAGACCUAAUGUCUUCGCUGAGGUUUGCCCCACCAUCGCUCAAGAGGCAUGACAAAUAGCUCUGAUACUAAUAAAUGUCAUAGCCAAUACCCAACCUAGUAAGAUAUUAUCCGCUUUGGGAGCACAUGGCCAUCACGACUUUGUUAUUAUAAGUGCCCAUACACGUUUUUAGAUUUAGGUACUCAUGCUAAAAAUAAAGAUGAUGAACAUGGAAAUGAAAAGUAAAGCAUCCAUUAAAGUAAGGGUUGAGGAAAAUAUAAAAGUUGAGUUUUUUUACAAGAAAACUUAAAGAACAUGAAACUAAAAGCUUUCAACAAGAUCAUGUCGAUUUCCUUUCUUCCAACAGCGAAUAUCUCAUCAAAUUUCUCAUAGCUAGAUCCAAUUUCAUCAAGAUGGUUUGAUCUACUAUCAAUUAUUCAAAUCAAUAAUAAAACUAUUCUUCUCUUGAAUAAUUUUUUCAAGGUUUUCAUUAGCCUUCUCUAGAUCAACAAUCACAAAAUAUUUUUCUUUUAUAACCUCAACAAAUUUCAGAUUGACCUCCUUUAUAUCAGCAAUUUGUUGACUCAAGGAUUUGUUCACAUCACAAACCAUUUGUCAUUUCUCCAACAAAACUAGAUUUAUCCAUAGGAGGGGGACAUAGAGUUGAACUCCAUUCCUUCCAUUGCACAACUAGCAAAUGCAGGCUCUCACAAGUACUUUAUGUGUAGCUCUAAUGCUAAUUGGAAAAAUUCAAAGUUUGGCAGUAAGCUAUGGCAACUUAGUGUGCUACGCGAUGUAGAUAGAAGCCUUGUCACACAACUUAACAAAUGCAAAGAUAAUGAAAGAGCAAAACAUAAAAUGUUGUUAACCUAGUUCAAACUUAACCUACAUCUGCAGGGCCUCGCCUAUAGAAGAAUUCUACAAUAACUUCACAGUACAAGUAAUAGAUUAAGCCUAAGCUAUCCUAAUGUUUGGAUAAUUGCAACCUCACCCAAGCACAUUUAUGACCCCCCCAAUGAGUCUUUCAUGCUUAAAGCCCCUAACUCUCAAACUUGCCAAUACUAAGUGAAUAAUAAACACUCAAAGGUGUCAAACAACUAUACUUUACCAAUUCCCCAAUGAACAUAAAAUAUGACCCAAGUCUAUGUAACUUCCAUGAAAUAGGCACAUAUAUAUGCUAUGAAUAUUGGCUUCUCUUACUCAGUUUUCUCUCUUUAUAGUGUGGAUAAAUACAACAUAUAUCAAUAUCUAUCACCAAGCCACUAUUUGAAUGCUUCAAGUCAAUCUUCAAGUCUCCUUCUUGGACUAAAACUUCUCCAAGAUAGUUGAAUUGCUUCUUUAAGAUGAAUUGCUUCUUUAAGAUGCAUCAUAUGUUCUUAAGUGAUCUAAACUUCUCUCAAUUUUAUAUUGAUCUUUAAAAGUCAUCCUUGGAUUACAACUCUUCAAUGUUGUUGUAUAAACUUAUUUCUUAAUAAUGAUAUGUCUUCAUCUUAAUUUGGGCACUCAAUCGACUAUUUUUUACUACUGUAUAUGAUAAUUAAGACGAAAAGGAUAAGCACAAAGUAAAAAACUACCAACUUCAAAAUCAGAUGCAUCAACUAUCUACAACAUGUGGUUUAUGAUGUGCCAGCAUGCAAAACCACACUAGGAAGAACACCGCAAGCCAUGGACCAAUAUAUACAAAGAAUCAUUCCUUAUAUAUUUCUUUUCAUGCAAGUAAAUAUGAAUAACCAGGCCAUUGCAUUUUUCUUAAAAUACAAUAAUUUGAGAAUUUAUAACGACAAUCAAUCAUUACUUUCAUAUAUCAUAUGUAUCACUUAAUAACUAAUCGAAAAAUCAAACAAAAAUAUAUUUAGAUAACUCUAAUAUAAUUGUCAAACUCACAUAUGAUGUAACUUAAACUUGAAAUAUCAAAAUUCUCAAGACUUUCUCUUGUCAAUAAUCAAGGGCGAAUCCAAAGACAAUGAGAGACAUUGGUCCCUCUUGAUUAAAUGAAAAAAUUUCAUCUUUUUGACCCUUUCAUCAAAAAAUUAUAAUUUAAUUUCAGUCCUUUUAACUCUUGUUAAAUGAAAAAAAAAUCAUAUUUUUGAAAUUCCCAAAAAAAAUUAAUUGAAGUCUUUUUACCUCUUUAGUCAAAUGACAAAAGAAAUUAAAGUUUUGACUUCUCUUAAAAAUUAAUUAUUUAAUUUAUUUAACUUUAUCCUUUAAAAAUUUUAUAAUUUCAUCCCAAUUCCAUUUCUAAAUGAAUAAUAUGGUGUCCAAUAUGACCAUCCACAUAACUGAAAGGCUAAGUGAGCAAAGGCAUCGAUUACUUGUCACCCUAAGGCACUAACCGUAAUCCAAUAAAAGGCAUUUUCUGUCUCUAGGUUCCCACUAAACCCUAGACCCUCCUAGGCUUGUACUCCUAUAUUUAAUUAAAGAUUCCAUUUUUUUAUCAUUUUUUUAUAAUAAGCAUGCUUUUUAGCAGAAAACUUUGGGGGGAGAGGGGCAAAAGAUCCACUAAACAUUAAAAUUCAUUAUUACAAGAUGUACUGCCAUGGAAUUUUAAGCUAGUGUUCAUGUAACCAUGUUCAUUAAAUUGAAUGCUUUGGCAGACAACUUAAUUACAAAGUACUUGUCAUGUUGAAAUUAACCUUGUCAACUUUGAUAUUGCAUGAUACCUAUGAUCCAUAGUUUUGAAGAACCAAUUCGGUAGAAUGAUUGGAAAUUUGCAUUGAAUGUACAUGAUAGUGCAUACACUUUUUAUCUGUGCCAACAAUGCAUGUUUACUAAAGUUAAAAAAUCACUUUAAUUAUUUAUUAUAAAUUUAAUUAGUGUCUAAAUUAAAAUAAUAAUUAAGUAGUUAAAACUAAAAAAAAUCGACUCAAAUAAAAAUUAUUUGAAUCUAAAAUGAUUUCAACUUAAAAUAGCUCAAACCCAAAAUAAUCAACUCUAAUAUGACACGAACUUGAAAUAAUUGUAGGUGCGGCCCUAGGGGUGGCAAGGGCUCUCCCCUCCAAAUGAAUAAUUUUACUUUUAGCCCUUUAAAUUUAUAAUAUUUUUAAUUUAAUAAAUAGUAAAAUAGUACUUUAACCUCUUAAAAUAAUAAAUUUUUUUAUUUCACCCUUAAAUAAUCAAAACAAAUAAUUCAAAAUAACUUAAUCUCAUAAACCAAAUUUGAAUGAAAAAAACUAAAAUAUCUUGACCCGAAAAUCCGAAAAAAAAAACUCAAAUAACCCGACUUUAAAAUAUUCUAAACAUAAAAUUAACCUCAACCCCAAACAAUCUUAACCCAAAUUGAUAUAAUUCAAAACUAAUUCAACGCAAUGAAAAGUGGGUCUAAAGUAACCAAAUCCUCAAACAAUUAUGUGUCAAAUAGCAUUUACUCAAUCUGGAUUUGCUAUAAUUAAUUACUGACAAGUGUACAUGAUCUUACCUACAUUGCAAAAGCAAUGUUGGUUUCUACAUAAAUACAAGGAUAAAAGUUGGAAACAAUAUAAUUAAAACAUCUGUGAUAAUCUUUCUUUAAGUCUUUCACAGCUAUCCAUCAAUACGUUGAAGACAAAACCCAAAGGGAGAAAAGAAGUGAAUUUCAAAAGAUUGGGAAAUAUGAGGGACCCAUGUGAGAGUCAUAGAUGCAACAUAAUACUCCGAAUUUUGGUACUCUUAGGAAACACCAAUGCAAAUUAAGGAGUAAAUUUCUAUUCACUAAUCAUUGCUUCUCCCACUAAAUCAUAUAUGCCAAAAUAAAAUUUUGUUAAUUGGUUAAUUUAUGAUUCUAGUCCUGCUUAUGUUUAAUUUUAGAUUUUUUUAAUUUUUUUAUCAAGGAUAAAAGAAAGAAGUUGUCUAGAUUUGAACUUGCGACCUAAUGUCAAUAAAGACUUAAACAAUGCAAGUCUUUUGACAUGAUUUGAUCUUCUAUUUUUAUUAUAUUAUUAGUUAAUCUAAAAUAAUUAACGGUGUUAACCAUUCCAAUUAGAAUGCAAACCAAAAUAGUUAACAUUUAAUUGUAUAUAUUAAUGAUUUGAAUUAACCAACAAUAUUAUGGGUAAAUUAUACUUUCUUUAGUAAGCUCACUACGUACUGAUACAACAGUGAGAAUGGUUUGUAAGGAGAUUGGUAUUUGAGCGUAUAAGGGAUACUUUUCUAGGCGAUGCCUUACAAGUCACAAAUGUAGGUUGAAGAUGAACUACAUUAUCUUCCUAUAUUUGAAUUUUUCAUUCUUUCAGUGUUUACUUAUCAAUGCAUUAAUACAUUUGAAGAGCGUUAACUUCUUAUAUUUGAAUUAUCUUUAAGUUUAAUAAUCAUAACCAAUUUCGUUAAUUCUCGUUAACUUUGUGAUGGAGAGAUGAUGCGAUAAUUCAAAUAUAGGGAGUUAAUGAUGUUCAAACGUAUUAAUGUGUUGAUAAGUAGACAUUGAAAGAAUGAAAAAUUCAAAUAUAAGAAGAUAAUACAGUUCAUCUUUAACCCACGUUUGUGACUUGUGAGGCAUUUCCUAGAAAAGUAUCCAUCACAAAGUUAACAAGAAUUAAUGAAAUUGGACUAGAAUAGACAAUUGUGGCUAGUUAGGUGUUGAUUUUGUAAUUUUUUAUAAUUGGGUAAUCGAAAAAGAAACCUAAGUAUAGUUGAGUAAUUAACAUGCGGUGUAGUUUACCCUAAUACAAUAAAAAUAUGAAAAUAAAAUUAUACGAUAGUCAUUAAAACUUUUGUCAAGCAUUCGAUUAACACUGAUUUAAAUUGUGUGAUGUAAUUUCUUACCCAACAUUAAAUAAAAAAAUUAAAAUAUAAAAAAAAUCAUUCAAAACAUAAUAGAUUUUCACUUUAAAAAAUCUUAGUAUUUUCAUGUCGAGGUUCACUUUAUUAUUAGUCAAAACGAUUUAACUCAAUCACUUGAGAGUUUUUUGUAUUUUUUUGGUGGGCAAGUGGAAGGAUGGUGUUGGGUGGCGAACCCUCACCAAGCCGACAAGUUAACGCUUAAAAGGGGACUACGUGGGGUGUUUUGUAUGGAAUAUUAUCAACAUUUCUUCCAUUUAACAUGGACUUUCUUCCGCCCUUAUACCUGGUGGCUCCACCAUCCCACCACCAUUUUGCCACCGUCACUUCCAUCGUCAUCUCCUCCUUCAUUAAUUUUUAAUUUGGAUAAUUAGGGUACAAUCUUUUAUGAUAAAUUAUGUGAUCUCUUAUUAACAAUAAAUUUAUGUUAAGGCUAUAAAAAAUUAUACUUUAUUAAAUUUAAUUUCAAGGUUAAGUAAAUCAUAUAAAAAAUAAAAGGGCUAAUUUUUUUAAUAAUUUUAAUGGUUUUUAAUUUAUUUUUUAAAAAAGUAUAUAUAUUUUUUUUAUUUUUUAAAAUUUGUGAAAAUUAAUUAAAUGUUUAAGUGUCAUCCACAUGGUAAUCCAUAUGUAUGUCACGUCAACAAAGUUAAAAAACGUUAAUAUUUCUAUCUAUUUUUAGAUGAUUUGACAAAAAAUAUAAAUUUAAAGACUAAAAAAGAAUAAAAAUUAAAUACAUGACUAAAAUAACUUUUUUAUAAAAUUGGAGGACCAAAUAAAUUAUUAUUCCUAAACAACAUUAUUCACCCAAAAGUGAGUGUGAAUGUGAUGAAUUAUAGUAAUAACCAAUGAUACUGGCACACAUCUAUUGUAUUUAUAUAUGAGAUAUGAUAUAAAAAUGGAAAUCAAUGUAGAUUUCAUUCUAUUUUUAAGCUCUAUAAUUACAAAGUAAAAUUAUAAAUAUAUAUUUGAAUAAUUAUAAAGUAAAAUUAAACCAAUAUUAAUGAUAAACAUACUAAUCGAAAUUAAAAUCUACAUAUUUUAUCAACACACGAUGAGACUGGAGACCUACACAUGAUAAAUUGUUUAUGAUUGGACUCGAAUUUCAACUUUUAUCAAUAAUAUCAAGACCCCAUUUGUCAAUUGCAUAUUUUUUUCCCAAAUAAAAAGUAAAUUGAAAAGAGAAUCCAAGAGUUGGAAGGACGAAAUUAGAAAAAAAAGAAUUGGAAGGAUGGAGAAAUUAAAAGAAGGUUGAAUUGUAAAGACAAUGAAGAGAGAGGGGUCCAAGCAUAUACACAAUAAUAAUGGGCCAUAAUCAAGCCGACCGAUUAAAGUUCAUGUUUAUAUCAUGAGCCGUUUCGCUUUAUAAGGCUUCAUUGUGCGCGUGUUUUCCUUUAAAAGCGUGCCGCAUCGUCUGUGGGUCCAUCUCGGCUUGGCGGCUCCAGCCAAUCCUUUUUCCAUUAAAAAGCUCUUCCAUUUUCUCCGGCCGCGCCGAUAUUGACUUCUUUCACAUUUUCUUUUUCAAAUAAUUAAAGCUUUAAUUAUAAGAAAACCUUUAAUCACUAUUAAAAUAUAUUAUAUUUUUUAACUUAAAAAAUCUGUGUUGUGAAACAUAGUCAAAAUCACAACAAAAUAUUAAUUUACUAACCCAUGCUUUGUUUUUUUAAAUAAUAUCUUAUCGAUUUAAUCUUAACUCAAUUGGUACGUAUAUUGUUGUCAAUGUAGGAGAACGUGAGUUGGAGAGGAGCUAUAGAUAAUUCUAAGUAUUGUGUCAAAAAAAUAGAUAUUAUCCGAACCUGAAAUAAAUAUAAUGAAUUUUUAAUAUUUUUAUAUUUUCCAAAAAGAAAAAAAAGAGAGAAAAUGGGCCUUAACUUUCAAUGGUUGGUUGGGUUAGGCAGCCCAUUAGGGAAAAAAAAUCAUUAUUGUGAUACCCACUCGCCUCUGGCAAGCGUGGAAAGAACAGCAUCAUUUUCCCUCUAGAAAGUGAAGGCACGCGCGAAUGGAAAUGAGUGGGAGAUUAGAAAAAAGAAACUACCAUCAGAAAACAAAUUAGAAAAAAAGAAAGAAUUUAAUUGGAAACAAAAUUUAAUUAUAAUAAGAAUCCCCGGAAUUAUGUGACUGAGAUUUGGAUUUGGAUCUGAGCAUCAUUUCUUGAUAAAUAAAUAAAACAAAAUAAACAACCGAUUGAAUUUUAGCUCGAUUGGUACGGACAUGAUUACUAACAUAGGAGUACAUGAGUUUAAGUGUACAAAAACGUAUUAUCUGGGUUAGGAAGAGAUAUGGAUAGUUCUAGAUAUUAUGUCAAAAAAAGCAGAUAUGAUCAAAACCUAUAAUGAGAUUCGCACUUAAACCUAUUUAUAAGGAAUCGAUUAUAAUGUUUUUGAAGAUAAGGACUAAUUUAAAAUUUAUCCAUAGUCUAAGUACCUCAAAUAAAAUUAACCCAUUAUAUAUACUGAUGUUAGCCGUUUUAAGUGAAAAAGUUUACCUAAGGGGAAGAGGGGUCUAUAUAUAAAAAAAACCCAAAGCUCUUGUGAUGAGAACAACGUCUAAGUCACUUAUAGAUCUCUAAAUUCUCUCAACUCAAAAGAAUCGAAUCGCAAGUGGAAUACGCAGAGAAUUUUUAGGUUUUGUCACUCUCACCCCUUUCUUCAACCCUCUUCCAUUACAGUCCUACUAUAUAUCUACACAUAUAUAUAAUAGGAGCUGAAUAGGAGCAGCCAAAAGGGUCUUUUCUUCAACACCAUUGUUGAGCUGAGAGAAAAACAGAGAAAAAUUAGAGAAUUCUCUCUAUAUAUACAUAUACAUAUAGAGAGAGACAGUUCAAACUUCAAAGGUUUGUUUCAAAGUUUUUUUUUUUCUUUCUUUCAUUUUUCUGGGUUUUGUUUUGUUUUGUCUCAUUGAUUGUCUGUUUUUUUUCUUUUUUUAUGUUGCAGAUCUAGUAGAUUGGUAAUAAAAAAAGAAUGUUGGGACAAAAGCAAAGUGAAGAAGCAAUAGUGUCGAAUUAUAACGAAAGUGAACAUCAUGUUGAGAAUAGAGAUGAAGAGAAAGAAGAAGAAAACCAGUCAUUGUUUAAUGUUAAGAAUCUACUUUGGCAUGGUGGUUCUGCCUGGGAUGCUUGGUUCAGCUGUGCUUCUAAUCAAGUACAUCCCCUUCUUUCCCCCGCUUACCCCUCACCACCAUUUCUUUUUGGGUAUACUAUAAUAGAAGUUAACCAUCUAUAUUUUUUUUACCCAAUUAUGAAAAAUUACGAAAAAGUCACCUAUUUAUUUAAUUUUGUUCCUUUUUUAUCACCGACGGACUACCAUAAAAAUGAAAACAUCAAAAAUUUCCAAGAUAGUUAGGUGACAAUUUUUUUUACCCUUUCUUGUUAUACCAACUUUGACAUGUUGAUUAAAAUAUCUUCGUAGGACAUGUCGUAUGAUUGACCGAAAAUAAACUUUUUAAAUUAAAAAAAAUUCAAAUUUUAACCUUUUUUUAUAUUAGGGUUAAAUCUUGAAUUAUGCUGAAAUACAAGGAGUGUAGCAUUUUUUGACUUUUUUUCCUCUAACAAUUUUUUAUGGAUAAAAUAUGUUUUGUGCCUCUGUAUUUUGAAAAAAUUCGACAUUUAAUCCAUAUACUUAAAAAGUUAAAAAAAGAAUUUUUACCUUUCAGUUAAAAUUUUUAAUCCAAUUAUUAAAACUAAUAGUAUUUUUCAUCAAAAUUUACCACUAGAAUUUUCAAAUAAAAAAAAGAGUAAAAGGAUUUAAUUUUUUUCAACUAUAUGGACUAAAACAGGUAUUGAUAGUAUAUUUAGACCCUUUUUAUUUUUUGUCUCUUAAAUUUACAUUAUUUAUUUUUUGAUCCUUAUAGGUAGCACAAGUGUUGUUGACUCUACCAUAUUCAUUUUCUCAAUUGGGCAUGCUAUCUGGGAUUCUGCUACAAGUUCUCUAUGGACUUAUUGGAAGUUGGACUGCAUACCUCAUAAGUGUACUCUACAUUGAAUAUAGAAGCAGGAAAGAGAAAGAGAAUGUGAACUUCAAGAACCAUGUGAUUCAGGUCUCGAACACUAACCUCUCGAACACUAACCGUCAGAUAUUUUUAAAAAAUACUUUUCGAAUAGUAAUGCUAAGUUAAAUCGUAAUUUUUUAAAAUUUACAGUGGUUCGAAGUGCUUGAUGGGUUAUUGGGUCCAUAUUGGAAGGCAAUAGGACUUGCCUUCAACUGUACUUUCCUCUUAUUUGGAUCUGUCAUACAACUUAUAGGCUGUGCAAGGUUUGCAUCAAUCUCAAAACCGGAUUUUUUAGGUUAAAUUAUGAUUUUGGUCCUUUUAUCGUAGAUGGAUCAAAACUAUAAUUUGACUAUUUAUUUAAUUUUAUCUUAUUUUGAUGUAUUGGUUUAAUAACAGUAAUAUAUACUACGUUAAUGACAAAUUGGACAAGAGGACAUGGACCUACAUAUUUGGAGCUUGUUGUGCAACAACAGUUUUCAUACCAUCUUUUCACAACUACCGUAUUUGGUCCUUUCUUGGCCUUGGGAUGACCACUUAUACAGCUUGGUACCUGGCUAUUGCUGCCCUCGUUCACGGCCAGGUAAAAUCGUGCUGAACGUGUUGAAUCGAGUUAAAAAAUUUGAAUUAAUUUUUUUAAAGAUUUUUUAAAUAAUUUAUUUGAUCUCUGUCCCGACCGGUUCGAUAAUGAUCUCCCAUUUCAUGCACUUGCAAAACCACCUUUUUCCAAUGUUUUUUCUUUGGUUAUUUUUUAGGCUGAGGGCGUGAUGCAUAGCGGUCCGACGAAGCUUGUGCUUUAUUUCACCGGAGCCACCAAUAUUCUCUACACUUUCGGCGGACAUGCCGUCACUGUGUAAGUCUUUUUUUCUACUUCGUGCUAAUUUAACAUUGUUUUUGAAAACUACUUUUAAAAAGUGCUCGAAACUUUGAUGAAUUACGACGAUAUCACUCUUCUUUCUUCCUUUCUUUCUUUCCUAUUCUCUUUUUUAUCAAGGUCAAGAUAAUAUAAAUUAUGGGGUUCAAAAGGCAAAAAUUUUAGACUAAAAGGACCUAAAAUAAAUUAUAUGUCUUCAGUAAGGGCCAAAAGUAAAGUUUCACCGUAUUAUCCAAUGCCUUUCCCAUUUCUCUAGGAAGAUUUAACAGUGAACUGAACAUAGGGUUAAUUAUUCAAGUUGGUCCCUCUACUAUUCUCAACCUUUGGAUUUAAUUUUAUAUUUUAAUUUAACGUAGACUUUAGCUGAAAGUUACUAAAAUAUUAAGGGUAUUUUGGUCAUUUAACCAUGCUUCAUAAUUUAUAGUCAAUAUAAUGAACAUAAUUAUUGUUUUUCAUCACUUUCUUCAAUUUCAGGGUAAAAAAUAACUGUUUGGUUGAAAAUUUUUUUUCAGGGAAAUUAUGCAUGCAAUGUGGAAGCCUCAAAAAUUCAAGUACAUAUAUUUAUUGGCCACACUUUACGUUUUUACCCUUACACUUCCGUCAGCUGCUGCCGUUUACUGGGCCUUCGGUGACGAACUCCUCAACCAUUCCAAUGCCUUCUCUCUCCUCCCUAAAAAUGGCUUCCGUGACGCCGCCGUUAUCUUAAUGCUUAUUCACCAGGUUGGGUCUAUUUCUGUUUUUGGUCCCUCCGUUUCAUUUUGGUAUAUAAUUUAGUUUCUUUACGUUAAUAAUGUCAUUAAUACGUAAAUACUACAAUUAAUUUGAUGGUGCGAAUUUCCAUGAACACGUUGACACUAUUAUCAAUUAUCAAUUAACACUACAUGGGUAAAAAAAUUACAGGUUAAGUUGGUUUUCGAUCAAAUCAAUUCGGGUUAAGUUUUAGGUUCAUUUCUUCUCACGUUUGAGUUUUGUUUAUUUCAAGUUUAGGUUAUUUUUCAAGUUGGGUAAAAUUAUAAGUUCGGAUUAUUUUAGGUUUAGUAUCACUUUAGUUUUGGGUUAUAUAAAGUUUAAGUUAUUUCGAGUUUGAAUAAUUUUGGGUUCACGUUAACUUUUGUUUAGGGUUAGUUUAGGUUCAAGUCAAUUCAAAGUUAAGCUUUUUAAUUUUUUUAUGAUCAAAUCAGGUUUAGAUUUGAGUUGAUCGGGUUGGAUACUUUUAACACUUUAACAACAUUUAUUAAGAGUGUUAUCCAUUUGGACCUACUAAUAACAUUAUAAAAGUAGGAUGAUACAGUAUAAUUAAACCAGUAUUUCAAACCAAUUUAACAAAUUGUGACUUCAUGAAAUGGGGUAUUGCAGUUCAUAACAUUUGGGUUUGCUUGCACACCGUUGUACUUCGUAUGGGAGAAAGUAAUAGGGAUGCAUGACACUAAAAGCAUUUGUUUGAGGGCAUUGGCACGGCUGCCGCUGGUGAUCCCGAUAUGGUUCUUGGCCAUCAUCUUCCCAUUCUUCGGCCCUAUCAACUCGGCGGUCGGCGCUCUUUUGGUUAGCUUCACCGUCUAUAUCAUCCCAGCUUUAGCCCAUAUGCUCACCUAUAGAAAAGCCUCUGCUCGGCAGGUAUAAAGAAGAAUUGGUGAAAUUUUGGUUUUAGUCCCUGUAAAUUACUAGAAUUUUUAUUUACUUACUAUUUUUUUUCUUUGGUGAAACAGAAUGCUGCAGAAAAGCCACCAUUCUUCAUGCCAAGUUGGACUGGAAUGUAUGCAUUAAACGCCUUUAUUGUGGUGUGGGUUCUAGUGGUCGGGUUCGGGUUCGGGGGAUGGGCUAGCAUGACCAAUUUCAUUAGGCAAAUUGACUCUUUUGGCUUGUUUGCCAAGUGUUAUCAAUGCAAGCCUCCAACACCAACAUCACCAGCUGCUGCUAUGCACCAUUAAGCUCACUCUCAACCAUCUCAAACCUCAAAUUUCAACUAUUCCCCGUUUUUCUCCGGUCAAAUUUUGAUUUUGGUCUCUCUAUUAUGCUCAAAUUUAAAAUUUCGUCUCUAUAAUUUGAAAUAAUUUGAUCUCUCUUUUAUAAAUUCAUUAGUUAGCCCGAAAUAGUUAACAGUAUCCAGUUAAAAUGCCAACGUGAAAUUUUCCUAAAAACACCCAUUUCAACACCAGAAGAAAACAUAUCAGCAUGACGAAUGAGAAGGGUUGUUUUUAAGAAAAAGUUCAAUGUUAGCUUUUUAAUUGGAAAGAUACAGAUGUUAACUACUUGGACUAGCUCAUGGCAUUAUAAAAAUAAAAGGACAAAUCAUGUCAAAUUAAAAUACAGAGACCAAAUUCCAAAUUUAAACAUAAUAGAAAGACCAAACCGAAAUUUGACCAUUUCCUCCCUAUCUCAAAGAGAGAAAAAAAAAAACCCCGCCAAUGAUUUCCAUGUUUUCCUCCAUAUGUUGUAUCAUAUAUUGGGGGAGAUAGCAAUAUUCUCCCCUACAUGCUUAGUGUGCUGGAUUUUUGCCCUUUGCUUUUCCUAUUUUUUUCUUUUUUUUUCCUUCAAAUUUCUCCAUUAAAUUAGUUGAUAAGUAAAAAAAUAGUGUGUUGAAUUUGUGAUGAUUCCUUUGCUAUCCAAUUAAAUCAUAUAUAAAUAGUAUUAUGUUCAGCUUUCUCCCUCUUUUCUCAUCCUUAAAAACUUAUAUUAAUGUCUUUUUGUAGUGCUAAUGAUUACAUUUAUCAUACUUUCGAAAAUGUUAAUUUAAAAAAAAAUUAAUCACAAAAGUUAGGGAAAAUAGUCGAGAGUUCGAUUUUCACAAAAACAAUUUGAAAACUCGUGGCUAAUAUUUAUCCUUUAAUAGAUUUAUAAAAUAUAAAAAAUUAAUUACUAGAUUUACUCUGAUAAAUACCUAAAAAAAUUAUGUUUAAAUCUAUUGAUAAUAAUUUGGAAUUCAUCCCCUAAACAGUGUCACCCUUAUUUAAGAAAAAACAUGUGGACAUCCUUUAAUGUCCCAUUUGAUAUUAAGAUUCUAUAUGGAAGCGGAGAGUGGGCCGGGGACCCGCCGCCACAUUUCACAUGGGUUACACGUUAGCUCAUUUGCUUGUCACGUGCCACUCAUCACUCCUAAAUAUUCCCCCUUCAUUGAAUUUCACAUGUGAACAUACGAUGCCUACACGAUAUGCAUGAAUUAUUUUGUAUCAUCUACAAUCAUACUUGGCUAAUCAUUUCUAUCUUUCAGCAUUGCUGUCAAUUUUAAUUAUAUGUUUAUUUAAAUAUCCCGUUGUCAAUUAAAUCUUAACUUAAUCGGUAUAAAUAAAAAGGAUGUGAGUUCGAGUGUUUUGAAACACAUUAUCCUUCUAUUUAUGAAUUGGAGAGGGGAUACGUGUAGUUUUAGGUAUUGUAUCAAAAAGAGCAAGUUUUUAGCUCAAUUGGUAUUUGUAGUAUUUUCAAUGCAAGAAAAAGAGAGUUCGAGCACCCUUAAGUGAAUUUAUCCUUCUAUUUAAAGGUUAAUGAUAGAUUAUGGAUAAUUUUAUGCAUUGUAUAAAAAAAAUUGUUAGUCUCGAUACUUAAAUGAAAUUUGAGUUUAGUACUAGUAUUUUUUUGUCAUAUUAUUGAGACUAUUAGUAUUUGUUGUCAAAAUUUACCAUCAACCAACCUAUAUAAUCAUACCAAUUUUACAGGUAAAUCAUUAUGGAAAAACGAGAAAAUAUACAUAAUAAUGAACAGAUUCCGUCUUGAUAUCAACAAAUGGGUUGAAUUAAAAUUUUAUGAAAGUAUAUGUAUUAAUGGUAUAUUUUGACUUUAGUAGCUUUUAUAAAAAAAAAAUAAAAAAUAAAUCACCUAAAGGGUUUUAUAUAUUUUAUUUCUUCUAGCACAUGCAACCCAAAGAUAGGUUUCUUUGCUUUCUUUUUGUUUUAUAAAGAGAAAGUGUGUGAAUGUCCCCAUUUGAAAGUGCUGAAUCUGAUGGGGCUAAUCACAAAGUUUGAUUACAAGUAAUUAAUAAAGAAAAAGGGGAGAAUGGGGAAUCAAUUGCAAGCAUGAUUAGGGUUUCAAUUACCAUAUUUUAUGUUGUCUUUUGAAGCUAAGUCAAAACCCACUUUAGUAUUGUUGCGCUUCUUUUUUUGAUGAUUAGGUAAAGUAAAGAAAUUUGACACAAUUUGUGAUUCAUGUGGGAGAGUUGGUUCCCAUGAGAUAUUGUUGGUAUUGACCAAAUCCACCCUAUCAUUUAUAUUAAUAUUCUUUAUCAUUAAGGUAAUUUUUUAUGUUCGUUUUACGAUUCAUGAUGAUUAAUUAUUUUAGAAUUUAUGAUUGUCACUCCUAAUAAUAUCAUCACCAAAGUUUGAAUACGAGUUCUCUAAUUGAGAGUGUAAUGCACCUUGCUAUUUCGCUUUCUAAUAUCAUUUUGGUUUACAUGGAAAAAGGUUUAAUUGUGGUUUUAGUCCCUUUACCAUGCUAAAAUUUAUAUUUAAUCUAUUUAUUUUAAUUUGAUAUAAUUUAGUCAUUCUAUUUUUAUAAUGUUAUUAGCACGUCCAAAUUAAUAACAUCGUUAAUUACUUCCGCUAAAGUGAUGUUGUGAAUUUUCCUUUUUAAAACAACCUCAAGUAUUCAAAUGACAUGUAAAACAUAUUAUUAAUUGGACAGAAUUGAUUGAAUUUUCACAUCAACUCGACUAUGAGAUCAAAUAUCAAUAAAAAGAAUAACAUCUCGUUAUCACUUUAAUUGCAACAACUAUAAGUAUUAUGAACUUGUGCAUGCUAAUAACAUUACAAAGAGAAGGUCCAAAUUAUGUCAAAUUAAAGUAGAGGGGCUACAACCAUAAAUAAACCAACAAAAACAUGACAUUAAUGAAUCACAAUUUUGAAGAACUAUAAUUUUUUUAAACAAUUUAUUAUAAAUUCUGAUCAUAUCUAUUUUUUUAUACAAUACUUAGAACUAUCCAAACCCUUUCUCAACUCAUAUAUAAGAAGAUAAUGCGUUUCAGCGUACUCAAAUCCAUGUCCUCCUAUAUUAACAAUAAUACUUAUGCCAAUCGUCGAUAAAAAAAAAACUUAUACCAAUCGAAACGAGAAUUACAAUGGAAGUCAUCAAACAAAUCCCAUUUGUUUGAUGAAGUAUAUAAUUUGUUGAAAAAUGGGUUACUUAAAAUAAAGCUGUCAAUCUUAACUUGUAAGGUUUUUUAGUUGACCAUAUUUCAAAGCAAGUUUAUGAGAAAUAUAAUGAAGCUUAAUUAUUGCUCUAAUUACAGCUUUUUAGAGAUUCAAACCAAUUGUGUGCCUUGUUCAUGGAUUAAAGUAAAAAAAAUGUAAAAUAAUAUAAACAAAAAGGAAGAAUUAAAUGCUUUUAGUAUAAGCAUCACUAAGAAUGGAUUAGAUUGAAGUAAUUUAAAAUUAAAGGAAGAUUACCACAAUAAGCAAGGGUCUUUUUUUUUUUUUGCUUAGUGAAAGCUGCAGUUUUGUCAGAAGUUUAGUUAAACCCAAAUCUUGUCUUUUCAGUUACUUGGUACUUCAAUUUUGUCAGGUUUGUCAUAACCAUAAAAAUUAUUUAUGAGUUAAUUGCAUUAAAUACCCUCAAAUUUUGACCCUCAUUCUAAAUUGAUCUUAAAUUCCUGAAUAUUGCAAGUUGGAGUGGACUUAAGCAUGUAAUGUCCACAAGUGAGUAUAAUUACUUCAUUAGCUAGAAAUUGAAAUCACACCGUUGAUCCUAAACCCACCGUUGAUCAUGCCAUGUAGGAUUUACAUUGAGGAACCUGAGUUUAGCUUUUAACCAAUUCAAUUGAUUUUAAUAUCAAAAGAGUAAGAGGGAUAGGGGCGAGCAAAAUUCGAUUCGAUUUGAAAAUUUUGAUAAAAAAUUUAAAAUUUUGAAUUAAAUAGUUUAGUUAUUUAGAUCAACUCGAAUAAAAAAAUCAAAUUUUUUGGUUUUACUCGAAUAUGAAUUACACAAUUCGAGUUAUCUGAAAAUUCGAAUAAGAAAAGACAAAAACUACGUCGUUUUGAUAAAUGUUUACCUUUUCUAAAGUUAAAAGUCAAAACCAUUAACUUAAAAGAAAAAAAUUAUAUCGUUUUGAUAAAUGUUAAGUAAUCUUAUACUUCGUCUACUACUUAAAUAAUAAGUCCAUGUAAACAUAACAUUGAGUAUAAAUAAUAGGAUUCGUUAACUCGAUUUAAAAUCUUUUUACUCGAUUCGAAAAAAAUUCAAAUUGAGUUCGGUUGCUAAAAUAAGAUUCGUCAACUCGACUAACUCAAAAUUUUUUGACUCGAUUCGACUCGAUCGAAUGCUCGCCCCUGGAGGGAAAUGUAUUCGAUAAUCGUUUUAACAGGUUCUAAGUCACCGACAAAAUUUCUUAGUUUCUAACCUGACUUGAUCAAACUGCUAUAGUUUCCUUAUUUCUAUAUUUUAAUCACACCCGUUGAUUUAAUUAAAGCAUAGGAAGGGAUUAAAACAAAACAUUUUAAAGUUUAGACACCCAUCUAAAAUUUGAUCCAUGAUUGUCUAACCUUAUUUAUACUUAGGCCGGGAUAAUACAAUGGGUCAAUUUACACCCCCAUUAAGAAUUGUUUCAAUGAUCCAUGAUUUAAUCUGGGCUUAGAACAGACAAGGGAUAUAUUGGGAUUGGGCUAAAACCUGAAAGCAUAUAUAAAACCCAGAAAAGAUUAAGUCUUUUUUGGUGAUAUAAAUGUGGUAAGUGAUAACCUUAUCAUCAAAAGAGAAACGAACAAUGGCGUCACUACUACUUGGAGCAGCUCCAAUCUCAGCUCAAUCCCUUAACCUUUCAUAUGUUUCUCGUAUCUCUUCAUCUCAUUCCCAAACCCUUGGAACUUCCUUAUCAGUUUCAAAUUCAUCCUUUUCACUCUCAGCAGCUUCUUCUCCUUCAAUCCCCUAUGGUAGCUAAAAGAAACAUAAUUUUUUUUUUGUUAUUUUUCUGGGUUUCUUUUGAAGAUGACAAAUUUGGGUUUUAUUUGGGUUUUUUUUUUCAGUGUACUGUGGCAGAGGGGAUAAGAAAACAGAGAGAGGGAAGCGGUUCAAUCACUCUUUUGGCAAUGUAAGUGUUAUGGUUAAAUUCUGCUAAUAGUCCCUGUACUUUACUAAAGUUGUGGAUUUAGUCUAUGUACUUUAAUUUGAUCAAUUUGAGCCCCUGUACUUUUCAAAUUGGUAAUUGUAGUCCCUCUGCUUUUCUAAUGUAGAAAAUUUAGUCAUAACUCAAAAUAGUAAUAGUUGAAUUCAUUUGAUUAAAUUUAGUUACUAGUCAUGGACUAUACUUUCCGAAUUUUGACAUUACACAUAUGAUAGUAUGUUUGUCGCAUUAGAUUCUGAAAAUAGCAAAACUUACUGAAUUUAACAAUUCUCGUUCGGUGAACACUGGAAUUUUAUAAUUUGAAAAGUACAGAGUCUUAAAGUGAUCAAAUUAAAGUACAAAGACUAAAUCCACAACUUUUGCAUAGUAGAGGGACUAAUGAUAAAAUUUAACCUAAGUGCUAUUGUUAUUAUUAGUUCCCAUUUUUGGUUAAACUUGAUAGAUUUUGAUUUUGUUUUAUAUAUAUGCAUAAUGAAAUUGAAUAGGCAAGGCCUAGGGACAAGAAGAAGGGGAGAGGGCCACCAAGGGUGCCAGUUCCACCAUCACCACCGAGAAAAGAUAAGUUUGAUGAUGAUGAGAAGAUAAAAAUUGAAAUUGAUGAAUCCCUUUUUACUACUUAAUGCUUAAUUUCUUUAAUUUUUCUAUUGUAAUGGCUUAAAUUGAGACAACUUGUUGUGUAUGCUGUAAUUUGCUGUUGUUAACAUUACUCUUUUAAUUUGAGUUAUUCUUCUCUGCUGUUGAGUUUUUUUGGGGUUCAUUUUAUGGCAACUAAGUAAAUGUAGAUAUGUGUAUUGAGAAGCAGAAUUGUAGCAAUGGCAGCUCUGUUUUGGGUUGUGUUGGGAAAUGAACAUAAAAAGCUGAGGUUUUAGUGCCUUGUGUUUGGUUGAACCAACAUGUUUUCCACUGGUUUUAUUUGGAUAAUUUAUGUACCAGUGGAUGGUUGAAAAUUAUAGCAACACCACGUGUGAUUUCAUUGUGUUUAUGGUUUGUGAGAGAAUUAGAUUGGCUAGUUGAUUUGAUAGUUGUUGAAUAUUGGCAAUAUCCCACAUUAGGAAAAGAUAGAAAGGGAGGGGGUUUGGUUUGUUAUAUAUAGAACCCCUUCCCCUUUGGUUGUAUCAUCCCAAAAUCUUCUCCUUUGUAAUAUUUCUAGAAGAAAUAUUAAUUUGGUAGUGUCCGAGGACGUAAGCUAAAUUGGCCGAACCUCGUUAAAUCUCUGGUAUUUUAUUUCUUAUUUGUUUGCUUAUAUUUAAUAGCUUUAUGUUGGUUAUAUUUAUUUAGUUAUUAUUGCUAUAAAUAUCUAAGUGAGUUCUGUCUAGUUGUUGGGUUUUAAGCGGGACCAUUUGUGACCCCUCCAAUUUAACUGGGAAUUUUCUUAGUAUAAUUGUUGGCAUAAUAAUUAUCUAAAUAUUUCUGAUAAUAUUGUUAUUAAUAUUAUCGUCGCUUCCGCAACAAUUGGUAUCCGAGCCAAGGUUUUGUAGUAUGCUCUGUGUUUGCAGCUUAGUCUGAUCUUACACAUCAGAAACAUUUCCUAAAGCUUGUGGGUAUUCUGCAUUUGGUGGCUAUUAAGUAGAAGCUAUGGCAAAAAUGACAGAAGAAAAACCAUCCAUAUCAACAACUUCUACUUCGUACAUUUUGCCGAGGAUUGGAACUGCAAAUACGAGAUUUGUAGUGGAAAUUUUUGAUGGAACAGGUCAUUUUGGCAUGUGGCAAAGUGAGCUUCUAGAUGCCCUCUUUCAACAGGGUCUAGAUAUUGCCAUUGAGGAAGAAAAACCAGAAGGGGUUGAUGAUAAAGAAUGGAAGACCAUCAACCGAUUGUCAUGUGGUAUAAUUCGAUCAUGUCUUUCCAGAGAGCAGAAGUAUACAUUCAGUAAAGAGACUUCUGCAAGUAAAUUGUGGAAAGCAUUGGAGGAGAAAUUCUUGAAGAAGAACAGUCAAAAUAAGUUGCAUAUGAAGAAAAGACUGUUUCGUUUCAAUUAUGUUCCUGGUACCACGAUGAACGAGCACAUUACCAAUUUUAAUCAGCUGGUGGCUGAUUUGUUGAAUUUGGAUGUGACUUUUGAAGACGAAGACUUGGCGUUAAUGUUGUUGGGAUCGCUUCCUGAGGAGUUUGAGUACCUUGAAACUACUCUACUUCAUGGAAAAUCGGAAGUAACUUUCAAUGAAGUAACUGCUGCAUUGUAUAGCUAUGAACUACGCCGAAAGGAUAAGUUGAAAGGUUCAGGUGAAGCAGCAGUGGAAGCAUUGGUAACAAGAGGUCGUCAGCAAAGUCAGUCUAAGGGGAAGAGAAGAAAGUCCAAAGGUCGAGCUGUUGCCAAAGAUGAAUGUUCUUUUUGCAAAGAAAAAGGACAUUGGAAGAAAGAUUGUCCAAAAUUGAAGAAAAAAUGGAAGACUCCGCAAGAUGCAAAUGUUGCAGAAUGCAAUAGUGAAGCAGAGUCAGACUUUUCUCUUAGUAUGACAUCUUCAACAUUAUAUGCAGAUGAGUGGAUCAUGGAUUCUGGUUGUUCCUAUCAUAUGUGUCCCAUUCGGGAAUGGUUCUUUGAAUUUCAAAAACUAGAUGAAGGGGUUGUUUACAUGGGUAAUGAUAACACGUGUAAAAUAGCCGGGAUAGGUUCAAUUAAACUGAGGAGUCAUGAUGGAUCUACUAGAAUUUUGCGGGAUGUACGAUAUGUCCCAAAGUUGAAGAAGAAUCUCAUCUCUUUGGGGUCGUUAGAAUCUAAAGGCCUAGUUGUGACAAUACGAGAUGGAGUUCUUAAAGCAACUUCAGGAGCAUUGGUGAUGUUGAAAGGCAUAAGAAAGAACAAUCUGUAUUACUACCAAGGUAGUACAGUGGUCGGGACAACAGCAGCAGCAAUUACGAGUACCAAGAAGGACGCUGAGGCAACACAGCUGUGGCAUAUGCGUUUGGGCCAUGCUGGUGAAAAAUCCUUGCAAACUCUAGCCAAGCAAGGAUUAUUGAAAGGUACAAAGACUUGCAAACUUGAAUUUUGCGAGCAUUGUGUUCUGGGAAAACAACGAAGGGUGAAAUUUGGCACUGGGAUUCACAAUACUAAAGGUAUUCUGGAUUAUGUGCAUUCUGAUGUAUGGGGACCGUCCAAGACUCCAUCACUUGGAGGAAGACGUUAUUUUGUCACCUUUAUUGAUGAUUUUUCCAGACGAGUUUGGGUGUUUCCUAUGAAGAAAAAAGAUGAGGUGCUUGAAGUUUUCCUUAAGUGGAAAACUAAAGUUGAAAAUCAGACAGGAAGGAAGAUUAAGGUUCUCCGAUCAGACAACGGUGGAGAAUAUAAAAGCGAUCCUUUCCUGAAGAUAUGCCAAGAUUGUGGCAUAGUAAGGCACUUCACCGUAGGUGGAACACCGCAACAGAAUGGGGUGGCAGAGCGUAUGAAUCGAACGCUUGUGGAGAAAGUUCGAUGUAUGUUAUCUAAUGCUGGAUUAGAUAGAAAGUUUUGGACUGAGGCUGUGACGUACGCUCAACAUCUCAUCAAUCAUUUGCCAUCAUCUGCUAUAAAUGGCAAGACUCCUUUGGAGAAAUGGUAUGGAAAACCUGCUACUGAUUAUGACACCUUGCGCAUUUUUGGUUCUAUUGCAUAUUAUCAUGUGAAAGAAUCAAAGUUAGAUCCAAGAGCAAAGAAGGCUCUAUUCAUGGGCUUCAAUGCUGGUGUUAAGGGAUAUCGUUUGUGGUGUCUAGAGGCAAAGAAGACGAUAAUCAGUAGGGAUGUUACCUUUCAUGAAUCUGCCAUGUUGAAUAAGGUAAAUCCAGAAGGAGUGAGUAGUACUUCGCAGCAGGUGGAGUGUACUCCGCAGCAGGUGGAGUUUGAGCAGAGUGUGGUAAUUCCAGCAGAAGGUACCACUAGUGAUUCUUCAUUGGCAGAUGCAGAGUCAGAUGAGGAAGAGGUUUCUACCCAAGAACCUCAACAGCAAUCAGAGCCAAUUGCAGUCAGAAGGCAGAGACGAGAAAUUCAGAAACCUGCUCGUUUCACUGACAUGGUAGCUUAUGCACUUCCAGUUGUUGAUAAUAUUCCAUCCACUUACACCGAAGCCAUUCAGAGUUUAGAGAAUAAUAGAUGGUUAGGUGCAAUGGAAGAGGAAAUGCAAUCUCUAGAGAAAAACAAGACGUGGAAGCUGGCACAACUACCAAAAGGGAAGAAGGCGAUUGGUUGCAAAUUUGAAGACACUAUUGAAGUUAGUGUUAUGAGAAGAUGUUCGAAGAUGUGGAAUAUCGCCAAGGUGGAGAUUUGUUGAAUAUUGGCAAUAUCCCACAUUAGGAAAAGAUAGAAAGGGAGGGGGUUUGGUUUGUUAUAUAUAGAACCCCUCCCCCUUUGGUUGUAUCAUCCCAAAAUCUUCUCCUUUGUAAUAUUUCUAGAAGAAAUAUUAAUUUGGUAGUGUCCGAGGACGUAAGCUAAAUUGGCCGAACCUCGUUAAAUCUCUGGUAUUUUAUUUCUUAUUUGUUUGCUUAUAUUUAAUAGCUUUAUGUUGGUUAUAUUUAUUUAGUUAUUAUUGCUAUAAAUAUCUAAGUGAGUUCUGUCUAGUUGUUGGGUUUUAAGCGGGACCAUUUGUGACCCCUCCAAUUUAACUGGGAAUUUUCUUAGUAUAAUUGUUGGCAUAAUAAUUAUAUAAAUAUUUCUGAUAAUAUUGUUAUUAAUAUUAUCGUCGCUUCCGCAACAAUAGUUUGAUUAGUUCGACCGGUGAUAUAUAAUUAAAUAUAGAGAAUUAGAUCAUCGGUCCAGUUCUGGCUUUAUGCACCAAAUUGCAUCCCUUAAUCCUUUGAAAUAUUUGAGAAUAAAGAAACCAAAUUGCACCACUACCCCAACUAUAAACAUGCACAUUGGACAGGCUCUGUUGGUUUUUUAAGUUUUCGAGUUAUUUUGUUUUUGGAUAUUUUGAGUUUGGAUUGUUUUAAGUGUGAAUCAUUUAGAAUCUAUUUGGUACUGUCCCAACUUCAGUUCAUAACAUUUCCUCAAUACAGUUCUUCUCUGUGGCUCCUCUUAAUCACUGAGUACUUGCCGGGGGUGUUAACUGUUCUACUUCCGAUAUCAUGGCUGAGUGCUUUUGGACUUAAAAGAUUAUUGACUUGGACAUUGACCAGAAAUCAAUUGUAUUGGUAGAAAAUAAUUCAACUUAUUUAAUCGAAAAGAAACAGGAUGCACAUAUUAAAGCAAAAUAAAAAGAGGAAAACAUAACCAGCAAAAACAGCAUACAGUGGAAACAGAAACCUGAAACUGGAUGAUACAAGGAAAGAGAUAGCUAAGUACCUCUUUUAACUUAUUCCCUACUCGUUAAUCCCAAUCGUUGCUGGGUCCUCCCCUUUGGUUCUGCUUUGCUCUCCUCCCAUGCUUUUUUGUUUCACGACCAAGGUGAGGGAAAAGCCUGGACAGAGCAAGAUCGAUACGCUCGAAAUACCAGAUCCUCCAUCUCUUCCAAUAGAUAAGAGGUACAAUGAUAAUUCCCAAUCCAAAGGUAAACCCUAUCUCGAUACUUAAAUGAUUCCAGUGUAUAAUGCUCCCUGUCUCAGAAUCUGAAGGGCUGUCUUCUUUACCUGGUGGCAAUCCGCACUUUGUUUUCAAAGGAGGUCCACAUAAUCCGGCAUUGUUCUCAAAUGAAGCUUCUGGAAAUGAUUGAAGUUGGGUGCUCGUUGGGAUUGGACCCACUAGCUUAUUAUUUGAGACAUUAAGACAUGAAAGGAAAUUGAGGUUUGCUAGCUGCAAAGGGAUCUCACCGCGUAGGCUAUUGCUUGAGAGGUCCAAGGACUCAAGCUCUCGCAGGUUUCCGAAAGAUGAUGGGAUUGGACCUGUGAAAGCAUUAUGCGAAAAGUUAAGGCCAUGAAGUUCUUUGAAUUUGCCGAUUACUUCUGGUAUUGGCCCUUCAAAGUUGUUCCAUGAAAUGUCAAUGGAGGUGAAUACGGGCAGGAUCUUCACCAGCUCCAACUCUAAACCUUUGGUGGUAAUUGUUAUUGCAUCUUGAUAUCUAGUACCGCCUCCAGAACCAGAAUCUACAAAAUGGAGAUGUUUGAGCUCUAACAGGUUACUAUAUGGGUUAUGCUGCAUAGCAUCCCACGUCCCCAAACAUGUCAGAUGCAGUUUACCACUAAAAUUGUUGGAUGCUAAGUCAAAAAUCUGAAGCAUUGACCAUCCACCAUUAUUUCCAGAACAAUCAAUGUGACCGUUGAAUUUGUUGGAACGUAAAACAAGGACGUGCAACUUGGCUAUAUUCUUCAAAUGCCAUGGGAAUGAAUCAUUGAUCUGAUUGUUGCCAAUGUCUAAAACCUCCAGCAUUUUGCAAUUCCCUAGUGAUUUUGGAACCUUUCCUUCCAAUCGGUUUUGAUCGAGUUUGAGAGUUUGUAACUUACAACUUUUUGAAAAAGUGUCAGAAAUUAUGCCACUGAGAUUGUUUUGUCUUAAAUCCAAUACUCCAAGAGAUCCGCUCAUCUGAAAGAGGCAUUGAGGAAUUGGCCCACUCAAUGAAUUAUUAGACAAAUCGAGUACUCUAAGAGAUGUACUGCUGCAUAUCGAUGGAGGGAUACUCCCAUGAAUGUUGUUAUUUGAGAUGGAAAAGAAAGAAACACGCUGGAGGGAGUCACCAAUGUGAGCUGGUAAAACGGAGCUGAAAUUGUUGUCUGAGUAAUCCAGAUAGGUGGCAUCUAAUGUAGGAAUUGGGAUUUCCCCUUGUAAUUGGUUGACAUGCAGGUCAAUAAUCUGAACACUAGAAGUUAUGUUCUUCAAAGGUCUUUCGAACCCAACAAGAAAGUUAUCAGAAAGAUUUAGGCGCAAAAGAUCUAUUGGUUUCCAAAUCCAAUCGGGUAUUUUCCCAUGAAUAUGGUUGUUGGAAAGGUCAAGGUACAUUAAGCUGGACUGAUUUUUCAAGAAACCAGGGAACUCUGUUAAGUUGCAAGAUGCCAGCCCCAGUCCGGUAAAUGUGGGGAAAGAAAGCAAGGAAAUAUUAGUAGCAGUGGCAUCAAUAGACAACCUGUUAUGUGAGAGAUCAAGAGACAAAAGAUUCCCCAAGUUCUGAAAGGCAUUCAUUGGUAUCAAACCGCUGAAGUUGUUUGAAGAAAGAUGUAGGAUUUCUAGACCACGGAGUUCAAACAAAGGCGUUGGAAAUUGCCCUUUUAACUUGUUGUUGCUAAGAUCAAGGGUAUUAAGCAGUGAAGAGGCCUUAUCAUGAAAGUCACCAAUGCUGCCAUUGAAUUGAUUGUGAGAAAGGUCAAGUCUCUGCAGUGAUGGAAUGCCAAACAAAGUUGGUGGAAUGGUUCCACUUAGCUUGUUGUCUCCUAAGUCAGCAUCUUCUAGCUUUGAAAGGCUUGACCAGUCAGUGGAAUGAAUUGUGCCGACUAACUUAUUAUGAGCAAGGCUUAGGUUGGUAAGAUUCCUCGAUGAAGAGAAGGACGGUAUUGGGCCAGAAAAAUUGUUAUUGGAAAAAUCCAAAGAGACAAGUUGGGUAAGUUUCUCAACUGCUUUGGGUAUGGGUCCGCUGAAAUUGCAACCAGCAAGCUCUAUUCUUGUCAGUUGUCCUAGGUUAUCGAGAGAUUCUGGAAUUUGUCCCCCGAACUUUGUGCUGCUAAGUGCGAGAGCUUGAAGAGAAGCAUUGAGAGGAAAAUUUGGAAAUGAACCUUUGAGUAACAUGUUGUAUGACAAAUCAAGUGUCUGUAAGGUAGGUAUCUGGAAAAUUUCAUCUGGCAGUCUUCCAUUCAACCCAGUGCUUCUAAGACUAAGGGAAGUCAGGUUUGGGAAUUCUGCAAAGAAUUGUGGAACUGAAGCAGACAAGUUGUUGUAGUCCAAGCAAAUUACUGAGAGAGAUUGGAGCUUGGAAAGUGAAGAAUGUAUAGGUCCUGAAAGAUAACAGUUGGACAUGCUCAAAACUUGCAACUCAGUCAACGGCGAUAAUGCCCGACACCAUUCAUUCCCCAUAGCUGAUAUAUUUACGCCAUCAAGAUAGAGAAAUCUUAGCCUCGUCAGAUUUUGAACAAGCAUCUCUAGGUUCGGCUUCUCAAGUUUCAAUGGUUCUCCACUCAAGAAUGGAUCUGUAGAUAAAUCGAGAGUAAUCAACCUUGUCAAGCGUGGAAUCUUAGCUGGGAUUUGUCCUGUAAAGCCAGCAUUGGAUAAAUUAAGAUAACUCAAAUUCUCCAAUUUAUCAAAUCCAGCGGGAAAAGCAGUCAUGAACUGAUUAGAAGCCAAAUUGAGUCGCUGAAGAUGUUGAAGACGAAAAAGACUACUUGAACCGUCAAUUGAGCUUGAAAUUGCUCGGUUGCUCAAGUCAAGACCGAUAACAUGACCACCGCCAUCGCAACUUACACCAUCCCAGGAACAGCACUCCAUGGCUUGGUUCCAUUUCAUCAGCUUUCCUAAUGGAAUAGGAUAUAUAAAAAGAUCGGAGCUGCUUGUCAAAUUCAAGUCGAGCAACAACUGUUUUUGAUCGUUUCGACAUUGACCAGAAACUAAAACUAAGUUGCUAAUACCAAGGAAAAUUGCAAAAUAUGAACUAAAUAAGAGCCAUGAAAGCAGUAAAAUCCUCAUAUUUCUUUUUUUUUUGAGGCUAUUGAAAGAUGAAUGAAACUUGCAAGAGACGUUGAGUAUAUAAAGAAAUGGGGAGGGAAAAUAUGUUUAACUUUUAUUUUUAUCUCACGCUACAAUGUAUGCUACAAUAUUUAAUCUCACGUCAUUAUAAUUUUUACAUUAAUUCAAAUAAACGCACUACCCGUUCAAAGGGACUCUGGAUGCUGCCAUGUAGGAAGAUUCAAAAAGUGAUUAAUAGGGAGAGUGGAGAAGAAAAUUGCAAACGUCUCACUUGGUCUAAUAAUGAAAGAGAGAAGAAAAAGGAUUAUAGAGUUGUGUGUGGGUUAAUUUCUCCAUCAACCCUGGAUAAGGUUCUGCUAACAUUAAAUAAUUUGGUUAUAUUUCAAUACAUGUAACAUCUUAUGUCCCAUAUCGAAAAGACUUACUGAAGAAGAAAAUUAAAAGGUUGGUUGGAUGUCCAUAUAUCAUUUCAUUAAGAUGAAUUCUUAGGUUUGACUACAAAUUAAGAUACAUUAAGAGUAACUAUAUCAAGCCUGAAAUCUCAAUUGGAAUUUCCCCUAUAAAACCACCAGCUUUGGACAAAGGAAAAGAAAAAUAGGGUUAAUAAUGAAUACUUACAUAACAAGUACUUAAAUAGAAAAAUAGAAGGGUCAAAUGGGGUAAAUAAGAAAAAUAGGGACUCAAAACAAAUAUUUUUUCAGCUUUUAAUAUGAAAAAAAAUAGACUAAAAUAAAUUAAUUAAACGCUAGGGCUUCCAAUUUUUCACCAUAAAUGCUUCAUCUCUUAGGGUCCCAAAAUUUUUUUAGCUUUUAUUGUAUGACAUUUUAUAAUUCUUUUAAAAUGGGUCCAAUUUAUUGUUUCGCCUAUAGCCUCAAAAAGUCAAGAACGGGCCUGCUUACAUUUCAUAUUAAUUUACACUAAAUUUUUAUUAUUCAUAUCUGUUUUACGGUUUAUAUUUGAGAUUUGUGACGGUCCCUCUUAACAAUGUCAUUUUUAAGUUUUGGACUUGUAUCUCCUCUUAAAAAUACAAUAUGUCUUACCAUUGUACCCAACACUUAUCGGUAUUAAUUUACACUAAUUACAAUAACUAAAACUACAUUAUUUGAAAAAGUAAAUAGUUACAUGCAAGGGGCAAAAUUGCUAGUGAAGAAAAAUGCAGACUAUUAUUAAUUUGGUAAAAAGAUCUCUCCAAUUUCUCUCAAUUUUGAAAUUGAGCAAAUUAGUCUCUUUAAAAAAAUUUGAAGUAAUUUAAUGCCUGUCAAUUUUCGAAAAUAAGCAAUUAAGGAUAAUUAAGCACAACAUUAAUCUCUCUUAUUAACUGUACAUAGUUUUUAUCUAUAUAAUAAUUUUAUUCUUUAAUGUUUAUAUGUUUUGUCAUUUUAGCCUUAAUUCUAAAAAGUUCAACAAAUUUAGUAUCAACAUUUACAUAUUUGCACAAAUUUUGUGAAAUAAAUUUGUUAAAUUAGAACCAAAUUGACAAAAUGUAUGAAUUUUAAUGGUUAAAUUUGUUAUUAUACCAAUAAAAAUCAUGUUCAAUUGAUAAAAAAAUAUUAAUUUCGUGGUUAAUUAUUCUUAUUGCUCACUUUUGAAAUUGAUAGAAAUUAAAUUACUUUAAAGUUUUUUUUGAGAAGGACCAAUUUGCUCAAUUUCAAAAUUGAGAGUGAUGAGAGAGUUGUUUUUACCUAUUAAUUCUCUUCUAAAUAGGUUGAGAAGUGUACCAAAAAUUCCAUGUGGCUUUAAUGCAGGCUCCUUAAAUUUGAAUGGUGUGUUCUAAAAAUAUGACUAAUUAUGUCUGUAUCAUCUAUUUUCCCUCUUUUGCCUUUUUAGUUUUUCCUGGACCAUAAUCAGUUGAUUAUAGUCUGCAAUAGAGUUGAAUGAUAUAUGAGAUGAGAGGAGACUGAACAAGGAUAUUAAAAGGUUGGUUGGAUGUCCAUAUCAAGUUUCCACUGAAUUAAUUCCAUACACCAUUUUUCUCACUAAUAAUAUCCCAAAGCCAUUGACUUCAAAGUCAUUUUUUUUGCUAUGUUCAAGGCUAUCAUUUCACUAAGAUGAAUUCUUGGUUACUUACAGUUACUGCAUGGUAAUCUAAGUACAAGUAAUAAAUUGUGAAGUAACCAUUCAUGCAAUGAUGAAUUAAGGUUACGGAGUUGCGAGCUCAAAAGAUGUGAACUCUUCAAAAGCUGCGAGCUCUCCUAAAGAGACGACUUCACAAAAAAUGCAAGCUCAUCAAAAUACGAACUGUUAAGGGUUUUGGCGAUCCCUCAUAUAAAGUGCGAGCAAGGUUCCCUUGUGCUAAAAUUGAUGUUUUUGUUUAAUCAUUUUAUCUUUACUUUCCCAAGAUGUUUAGUGGGAUUAAUUGAUUUUUUGUAGCCAUUUCACAUUUAUAUUGUAAAUAAAUGACAAAGAAUAUACAAGCAGAUUAUUUGCAUCUGCUAAGUGUUCUUUUUACUUUCUCUCUUAAAUAUCUUUGCUCUGGUCUCUCGAUUCAAAAACACUAACACCAAGGCUUAUUUCAUAUAUAUAUAGAUAGAUAGAAAUUUCAUUUUGGGAUAAUUCUACUUAUUUAAUCCAAUAGAAACAGGAUAAACUUGUUACAAGGAAAAUAGAAGGUGGAAACAAAAGCAGCAGAAACAACAUACGGUUGAAACAGAAACCAGAAACAGGAUAAUUCAAGGAAAGAGAUAGCUAAAGUACCUCUCUUAACUUAAAUGAUUCUAGUGUAUAAUGCUCCCUGUCUCAGAAUCUGAAGGGCUGUUUUCUUUAGCUGGUGGCAAUCCGCACAUUGUCUUCAAAGGAGGUCCACAUAAUCCGGUAUUGUUCUCAAAUGAAGCUUCUGAAAAUGAUUGAAGUUGGGUGCUUGUUGGGAUUGGACCCACUAGCUUAUUAUUUAAGACAUCGAGAAAUGAAAGGAAGUUGAGGUUUGCUAGCUGCAAAGGGAUCUCACCGCAUAGGACCCAAGCUCUCGCAAGUUUCCGAAAGUUGUUGGGAUUGACCCUGUGAAAGCAUUAUGUGAAAAGUUGAGGGCAUCAAGUGCUUCGAAUUUACCAAUUACUUCUGGUAUUGGCCCUUCAAAGUUGUUAACUGGUAUUUUCACAAGCUCCAACUUAUUGCCUUUGAUGGUAACUGGUUUUGCAUCGUGUCCAAAGUCUAAAUUUAUGAGAUGUUUGAGCUCUGAUUGGCCUUUAUCUGAGUUAGGCUGCAUAGCAUCCCAUGUCCCCAAACAUGUCAUAUGCAGUUUACCACUAAAAUUGUUGGAUGCUAAGUCAAAAACCUGAAGCAUUGGCCAUACAUUAUUGUUUCGGGGACAAUCAAUGUGACAGUUGAAUUUGUUGGAACGUAAAACAAGGACAUGCGACUUGGCUAUAUUCUUCAAAUGGCAUGGGAACGAGUCAUUGAUCUUAUUGUUGCCAAUGUCUAAAACCUCCAGACAUUUGCAAUUCCCUAAUGAUUUUGGAACCUUUGUAACUAACAGCCUUUUGAAAAAGUGUCAGAAAUGGUGCUACUGAGUUUGUUUCGCCUUAAUCAGUACUCCAAAAAGCACGUUCAUCUGAAAGAGGCAUUGAGGAAUUGGCCCACUCAGAAUUAUUAGACAAAUCAAUUACAUCACGAUGACGAAGGGAUAAUCCCAUGAAUGUUGUUAUUUGAGAUGGAGAAGAAAGAAGCAGAUUGAAGGCAGUCACCAAAGAAAGCUGGCAAAACAGAGUUGAAAUUGUUGCUUUGGGUAAUCCAGAUAGGUGACAUCUAAUGGAAGAAUUGGGAUUUUCCCUUCCAAUAGAUUUCCAUACGGAUCCAAAAUAAUAAAGCUAGAAGUUCUAUUAUCCAAAGGUCUUUCGAACUGUACAAGGAAGUUCUGAGAAAGGUUUUUGGUAACUUAGAUAUCUUGUUUUCCAAAUUCAAUUGGGCAUUUCCCCAUGAAUCUGGUUGUCUGAAAGAUCUAAAUAGGUUAAACUGGACUGAUUUUUCAAGAAUCCAGGGAACUUCGUGAAGUUGCAAGAUGCAAACUUCAAUGUAGAAAAUGUGGGGAAAGAACGUGAGGAUAUAUUAGUAGCAGUGCCAUCGAUAGACAACAUGUUAUAUGAGAGAUCAAGACAUGCAAGAUUCCUCAAGUUUUGAAAGGCACUCAUUGGAAUCAAACCGCUGAAGUUGUUUGAAGAAAGUGUAAAUAUUUCUAGACCAUGAAGUUCAAACACAGACAUUGGAAAUCGUCCUUGUAAUCUGUUAAUGCUAAAAGUAAGGGUAUGAAGCGGUGAAGAGGCCUUACCAUGAAGGUAACCAAUGCUGCCAUUGAAUUGAUUUUGAGAAAGGAUAAGUCUCCGCAGUGAUGGAAUCCUAAACAAAGAUGGUGGAAUGCUUCCACUUAGCUUGUGGUUACUUAACAAAUUCUAGCUUAGAAAGGCUUGACCAGUCAGUGGAAUGAAUUGUACCGCUUAACAUAUGAUCAGAAAGAUCUAGCAACGUAAGAUUCGUAAAUGAUGAGAACGAUGGUACUGGACCAGAAAAAUUAUUCAAGGAAAAAUCUAGAUAGACAAGUUGCAUGGGUCCAUUGACAUUAUAGAGUCCAAGACUAAGGGAAGGUAGGUUUGGGAAUUCUUCAAAGAAUGGUGGCACCAAACCAGACAAAUUGCUGUUGUCCAAGCUAAUUAUUGAGAGAGAUCGUAGAUUGGAAAGUGAAGAAUGUUUAGGUCCUGAGAGAUAAUAGUAGGACAUGCUCAACACUUGCAACUUAGUCAUUGGGGAUAAGCCCCGACACCAUUCGUUGCCCGUGGUCAAUAUAUUUAUGCCAUCAAGAUAGAGAAAUCUUAGCCUCGUGAGAUUUUGAACAAACAUCUUUAAGUUUGGCUUCUCAAGUUUCAAUGAUGUUUCAGAAAAACGAGAUGUAGAUCAAUCGAGAGUGACCAACCUUGUCAAGCAUGAAAUCUCAAUUGGAAUUUGCCCUGUAAAGCCAGCUUCAGACAAAUUAAGAUAACUCAAAUUCUCCAACUUUUCAAAUCCAGCAGGAAAACUUGCUCAAACCGAUCAAGAUCCAAAUUGAGUCGCUGAAGAUGUUGAAGAUGGAAAAGACUAUUUGAAUUGUCAAUUGGACUUGAAAUUGAUCGACCACUCAAAUCAAGACCGAUAACAUGACCACCAGCAUCGCAGCUUACUCCAUCCCAGGAACAACAAUCCGUGAUUUGAUUCCAUUUCAUCAGCCUUCCUAAUGGGGUAGAAAACGUAGUAGAGUUGAAGUUGCCGCUCAAAUUCAAUUCCAGCAACAACUGUUUGUGAUCGCUUUGACAUUAACCAGAAACUAAAACCAAGUUGCUAAUGCUAAAACAGCUGCAAAAUAUGAAUUGAAUAAGAGCCAUGAAAGCAGUAAAAUCCUCAUUUUCUGUGAGAUUAUUGAAAGAUGAAUGAAAAUGGUAAGGGAUGUUGAGAAUUCAAAGAAAUGGGGGAGGGAGAAAGCUGAGAUGCUAUAGGAGUAUGAAUGCUCAAUGCUGCAAUGUUCUAUUGGAGAAGAAAAUUGCAAACGUUUCUCUCGAUCUGAUCAUUAUAUCUGUCAUUUUUAACUUUUUUGAUAAUAAAAUUAAAGUCCAUAAUAUGAGGAGGAGUCUUGGCUUUGUUAAAUCACGAGAGACCUCAGCAAAAGUAUCUGAUAUGCAGCUUCUUUGUUAAGCAAAUAGCAGUGCUACAUAGCUUAGGUCCCUUCUUCAUGCCAAGAAAAGAAAAACACCACAUGCAGAGUCUUUUUUUGUUUUUUUCCCCGAAGAUGUAAAAUUCAAUAAAUGACUAUAAAUGAAAUAUUGAAUGAAAUAACUCGAUCAGAGACGAGAACAUGUGUUAAUGAUGGCAAUUAUAUACAUGUAAAAUUACAUGUAUUUUAUCAGAAGUACAUUUAUGGGAAAAUAGUUGAUUCUUUAAUGCAUUGUUUUAAAUAUGAUAUAAUCUAAUAUUUUUUUUUAUAAAACUUCUAGAUAUAUAUAGCAAUGUUUUGGUGAAUUUUAAGUAAUUUUGAGUUUAUAGUGAAUUUUAAUAAUAAUUACCAUAAUUCUAGAUAUAUAUAACAAUAGGGAGAGGUGAGUAGUUCUAAGCACUGUGCCAAAGAAAAAAAUUCCAUUUACCAAGUAAGAAAAGUGGGCAUGAAUCUGUUAUAAGCCAGAUUGAGUUGCUGAAGAUGUUGAAGACAAGAUCAAUUGCGCUCGAAAUUGAUCGGUUGCUCAAGUCAAGACCGAUAACAUGACCACCGGCAUCGCAACUUAAACUAUCCCGAGAACAGCAAUAAAUGAAUCCUCAGUUUGAGCGGCCAGUAACUAAAACCAUGAAAUUGACCAGUAAAAUCCUCAUUUCUGUGAGGAUGUUGAAAGAUGAACCUAAAUCGUAAUGGAUGUUCGCAAUAUAAAGAAAUCGGGGACUGAGAACGUUCGAAUGCUAUAGGACUAUGAAUCCUCCAUUUGCUGACGUUUGUUUUUCAACUAAUAAAACUACGUUGCAUUUGCUUAAGGGUUCUCUGCAUACAACUUAUUUAAUAUUUGUGAUAAUGCAAAAGUUGACGUUAAAUUUUCACACUGGGGAGAAGCUAAGGAUCUUUCAUGAUCUAAUCUAAGUGGUCGGAACCAGUAAUGGAAUUUACUACGUUUAUAAACAAAACAAGAACAGUUGAAACUGAAAUUGUUAUGUUUGUUGGUGUUAGACACAUUUUAUCCGGAUGAAGUAAGAACUUCAAUCUGGACUUCAACAAAAAUGUAAUUUACCCGGAUGAAGAAUGAAGAAAAAUGCUUGAAAUUCAAGCUUUGAGCUUCAAGCAGGAAUAGAAACAGAAUUUAGAAAACAAAGAAAAGUGGAGCAUAUGGAAGUAAAAUCUGAUGAUUUCAUUCAAAAGAAACUUUUGGCUCUAACCCAUUACAUAUACCAGUCAUUGGCUGGUCAAAAUAAACAAAUUCAUCACCUAAACACUACCUAACUCCACCUAUUACAUUGGAACUAGGUGAUAUUACUUGCACACUUGAGCAAAGCUGGUAACCAGCUCUUUGACCAUCAAGUUACAUCAAUUUGUCAUCCAAGCAUAAUUCAAAAUGAACUAAAUUACAAAAAUAUUGUUAAAAAGUAACAAAAUGAAAAUAAGACAAAACAGUAGCAUUAACAUCAUCAGAUGCAUGUAUUUCACCCAAAAAACUUAAGUGCAUAAAUUUGCAUGAACUGCAUGUCCACCUUUGUUGCUGCAUGUGUUGCAUGGGAACUAACUUCAACACUCCUCUUUAGUUUCCAUGCUUGUAACACCUAGCUGCUUUCUCAGUUUUAUAAACCUUGACACACCAAGGGCCUUUGUGAAAAAGUCAGCAACCUGUUCCUUUGAAUUGCAAUGAAUCAGCUCCACCUCUCGAGCUUGUUCCAUCUCCCUUAUCAUAUGUAACUUGAUGCUAAAGUGCUUCGUUCUACCAUGGAAGACAGGAUUCUUUGCAAUUGCAACAGCAGACUUGUUAUCACAAAAGAUCACUUUUGCCUCCCUUUGAUGUAAGUUAAGAUCAUCUAGAAUUUUUCUCAGCCAAAUGGCUUGAGUUUACAACAUUGGCAGCUGCAACAUAUUCAGCUUCUGCUGUUGAUUGAGCCACCAUCGAUUGUUUCCUUGAGCUCCAACAAAACAUGGUUGAGCCAAGGGUAAAAGCAUAUCCAGAGGUGCUUUUCAUAUCAUCACUUGAACCAGCCCAGUCACUAUCAGUAUAGCCUCUCAACUUCAAACUUUCAGCUUUGUUGAAUAACACACCAUAGUCAAGAGUGCCUUUGAUGUACCUUAGCACUCUCUUUGCUGCUUGAAAAUGCUGGACAUUACAGCAAUGCAUAAACCUUGAUAACAUACUCACAGCAAACAAGAUAUCUGGCCUAGUUGCUGUCAAAUAUAACAAGCAGCCAACUAGGCUCCUGUAGGUAGACUCAUUGACUGGUUCAUGAUCUCCUUGGCUUGACAGCUUCAUUCCAACAAUAAUAGAAGUGCUCGUUGGCUUACAAUUCUCCAUUGAGAACUUGGACAAAACCUUUAAGGCAAAUGUUCUCUGUCCCAAGAAGAUUUUUCCUUCUGUUUGGCGCACCUCCAUUCCCAAAAAAUAUGUCAUUAGCCCCAAGUCAGACAUUUCAAACAUGUCCUUCAUUUUUGCUUUGAAUUCAGCCAACAUGUCUUGAUCUCCUCCAGUCACCAAAAGGUCAUCGACAUAGAGGGAUACAAUAAUCUGUAUUUCAGCUUCAUUCUUCUUAACAUAUAAUGUUGGCUCACUAACACUUCUGUUAAAUCCCAAACUGACCAAGUAACUGUCAAUUCGAGCAUACCAGGCUCUAGGAGCCUGUUUCAGGCCAUACAAUGCCUUCUUAAGCCUGUACACCAUUUGUUCUUUGCUAGACACAACGAAGCCUUGAGGAUGAUCAAUGUAGAUCUCUUCUUCAAGGAAGCCAUUUAGGAAUGCAGACUUGACAUCUAAUUGAUGAAUGGCCCAUUGCUUUUGUGCUGCUAAAGCAACUAGCAAUCUGAUGGUGUCAAGUCUGGCUAUUGGUGCAAAAGUCUCCAUGUAGUCCAGGCCAUAUCUUUGACUGAAGCCUUUGACAACAAGUCUAGCUUUCAGCUUAUUUAAACUGCCAUCAGCAUUUUGUUUGGCUCGAUAGACCCAUUUAACACCGAUGGUCUUUCUGUUGGUAGACCUUUCAACUAGCUCCCAUGUUUGAUUCUUUUAAAUCAUCUUGAUUUCUUCAACCAUGGCAUGUUUCCAUCCUUCAUUAGCUUCAGCUUCUUCAAAACUGCAUGGCUCCAAUAUGGCAACUUGUGCUCUUUCAUAAAUUUCAGCCAAAGGUCUAGUGCCUCUGACUAGCAUGUCAUCAAUGUCCAUUUCAGAACUAACUUGAUUAGGUUCAGCAUGAUCAGCCAUCAGCUCUUCAGAAACAGCCUCUGGCUUAUUCUUCUCCCAAUUCCAGCAUCAUUUUUCAUCAAAGAUCACAUCUCUGCUUACUUAGAUUUUGUUUGUUAAAGGGUCCAAGAUCCUGUAGCCCUUCUUGACCAUACUAUACCCGGCUAAAUUACCAGGAAUAGCUCUUUUGGACAACUUGUCCCUCUUUACAGCUGGUAUUUGGCUGUAACAUAGGCAACCAAAGACUUUCAUAUGAGCCAAUGAUGGCUUGAACCCAAACCAGGCCUCAAAAGGUGUCUUGUGAGCAAGUGCUUUGGUUGGAAGCCUAUUCUGAAUGUAGACAGCAGUAUUGACAGCUUCAGCCCACAUGGUCUUGGGCAAAUUCUUCUCAAACAAUAAACAUUUGGCCAUAUCCAUCAAGCUCCUAUUCUUCCUUUCACUUACACCAUUUUGUUGAGGUGUAUAAGUGUUGGUGAGCUAGUGUCUAAUGCCAGCUUCAACACAAAAGGUAUUAAACCCAGAUAAAGUAUACUCUGUUCCAUUAUCAGACCUAAGGGUUUUGAGUUUACAGCCUGUUUUAGUUUCUGCUACAGCUUUAAAUUUCUGGAAUAUUGAGAGUACUUCAUACUUAUUCUGGUGAAAGUAUGCCCAACAAUACCUGGAGUAAUCAUCAAUAAAUAAAAUGAAGUAUCUGUUUCCAUUCAAUGAUUCAGUCUUCAUAGGGCCACACACAUCUGUGUGUACAAGCUGCAGCUUCUCAGAGGCUCUCCAUGCUUGAUUGGUAGGAAAUGGCAAUCUUGCUUGUUUUCCUAAUUGGCAGACCUUACAUACCUCUUCUUCCUCAACAGAGUUGGUGAAGUUUUCAACCAAGUCUUCACUGAUCAUCUGAGUCAUUGAUCUGAAGUUGGCAUGCCCAAAAGCCUUUGGUGCCAAAGCUUGGAGUCUUUAGAAGAAACAGCAUAGGCAUUAUCAAAGCCUUUAUUCCAGUCCACAACAAAGCUCUUUUCUGUCAUGGCUACUGACAUGAGCAUAGAUCCACUUGGAUCACUGAUCUGACAUUCAUUUUCUUUGAACACCACAGUAUAGCCUUUUUCAACUAACUGAGCUAUACUUAACAGGUUUCUGUCAAUUUCAGGAACUAACAAAACAUUUGAAAUGAUCUUGUUACCUGUUGGAGUGCAAAUAACCACAUCUCCCUUUCCUUUUGCCUUGAUAAAGUGGCCAUUGCCAACUUUAAAUUUAGUUUUACAGCUUCUGUCUAAAGACUUGAAAAUAGCUGCAUCUGGUAACAUAUGGUUGGUGCAGCCACUGUCAAGGAGCCAACCAUUUGAGACUUUCUUCUGAGCAGUUAAGCAGAAGACUGACCUGCUCCUCAUUGUCACUGCCUUCUUCAGCUACCCGAGCUUCAGCUCUUGGUUGCUGUUGAUUCUACCUUGGUCUUCCUUUCUCUUUGCAAACUUUUUCAACAUGGCCAAUCUUUUUGCAGUGUUGGCACUGCACAUCUGGCCUAAACCAGCAUUUGGCUUCUGGAUGACCAGGCCUCUUGCAAUGCUUGCAAGGUCUUUCCCAUUUUUAUAGAGCAUCUGACUUAGGUUUAUCCUUCCAAGUCUUCUUUCCUUUAUAGGCAGUGGUGCUUGAGCCAGUAUUUGUUUUAGCUUGGAAGGCACCCUCCUGGUGCUCCUCCUGUCUACUGGCCCUUCUUUGUUCUUGUGCAUAGAGAGCAUUGAUCAGCUCAGUUAGAGUGAUGCUGGUCAAGUCUCUUGAGUCCUCUAAGGAGGAUAUUUUUGCCUCAUACCUUUCAGGUAAGGUAGAUAGCACCUUCUCCAUUAUUCUUGCUUCAUUGAACUGCUCUCCAAGGAGCCUUAUGCUAUUAACCACAGCCAUUAUUCUGUCUGAAUACUGCUUGAAAGUUUCUUCUUCCUUCAUCUUCAAGUUCUCAAAGUCCCUUCUUAGGUUCAAGAGCUGCUGUUGCCUUGUCCUCUUUGUGCCUUGGAACUCCUCCUUGAGUUUGUCCCAGGCUUGUUUUGGUGUUUCACAAGCCAUGAUUCUAGUAAAAAUUACAUCACAAACACAGUUCUGAAUGCAUGACAUGGCCUUAUGCUUUUUACCUUUUUCUUUAGAGUAUUGCUUCAUUUGAGCCACUGUUGGAUUUGCUCUCAAUGGUUUUGGUUCAACAUCUGAGUUAACUACCUCCCAUAUAUCAAAUGCCUGGAGGUAGGUUCUCAUCUUGACUACCCAAAUGUGAUAUCCUUCUCCAUUGAAAACUCGAGGUGCAGCUGGUGAGAAGCUUGAUGAAGCCAUCAGUAUGUGAUCCAACUAUAAUAGGUCCACUAAGAUAAGGGCUCUAGAUACCAAUUGUUGGUGUUAGACACACUUUAUCCGGAUGAAGUAAGAACUUUAAUCUGGUAAUUUACCCGGAUGAAGAAUGAAGAAAAAUGCUUGAAAUUCAAGCUUUGAGCUUCAAGCAGGAAUAGAAACAGAAUUUAGAAAAUAAAGAAAAGUGGAGCAUAUGGAAGUAAAAUCUGAUGAUUUCAUUCAAAAGAAACUUUUGGCUCUAACCCAUUACAUAUACCAGUCAUUGGCUGGUCAAAAUAAACAAAUUCAUCACCUAAACACUACCUAACUCCACCUAUUACAUUGGAACUAGGUGAUAUUACUUGCACAUUUGAGCAAAGCUGGUAACCAGCUCUUUGACCAUCAAGUUACAUCAAUUUGUCAUCCAAACAUAAUUCAAAAUGAACUAAAUUACAAAAAUAUUGUUAAAAAGUAACAAAAUGAAAAUAAGACAAAACAGUAGCAUUAACAUCAUCAGAUGCAUGUAUUUCACCCGGAAAAUUUAUGUGCAUAAAUUUGCAUGAACUGCAUGUCCACCUUUGUUGCUGCAUGUGUUGCAUGGGAACUAAGUUCAACAAUGUUACAACUUACAAUUAUUAUGCAAGUAUCCUAAAACUGAAGGAAUGGUUGCCUAGUUUCCAACACAACAUAUCUUGAAGGCAUAUUUUUUCGCUUUGGGAUAAUUCAUCUUGUUUAAUCCAAAAGAAACAUGAUACAUAUAUUACAGGGAAAAUAAUAAGGUAAAAACAUAAGCAGCAAAAACAGCAUACAGUUGAAACAGAAACCAGAAACUGGAUAAUACAAGGAAAGAGAUAGCUGAAGUGCCUCUUUUUAACUUAUUCCCUAAUCCUUAAUUCCAAAUGUUGCUAGACCCUUCUCCUUUGGUUCCGGUUUGAUCUCCUCCCAUGCUUUUUGGUUUCAAGAUAAAGGCGAGGGAAAAGCCUGGAAAGAGCGCGAUCCAUACGCUCAAAACACCAUAUCCUCCCAUCUCUUCUAAUAGACAAGAGGUACAAUGAUAAUUCCAAAUCCAAAGAUAAACCGAAGUGCUAUUGUUAUUAGUAGUCCCCAUUUUUGGUUAAAUUAGAAUAGAUUUUGAUUUUGUUUUAUAUAUGCAUAAUGAAAUUGAAUAGGCAAGGCCUAGGGAGAAGAAGAAGGGGAGAGGGCCACCAAGGGUGCCAGUUCCACCAUCACCACCGAGAAAAGAUAAGUUUGAUGAUGAUGAGAAGAUAAAAAUUGAAAUUGAUGAAUCCCUUUUUACUACUUAAUGCUUAAUUUCUUUAAUUUUUCUAUUGUAAUGGCUUAAAUUGAGACAACUUGUUGUGUAUACUGUAAUUUGCUGUUGUUAACAAUACUCUUUUAAUUUGAGUUAUUCUUCUCUGCUAUUGAGUUUUUUUGGGGUUCAUUUUAUGGCAACUAAGUAAAUGUAGAUAUGUGUAUUGAGAAGCAGAAUUGUAGCAAUGGCAGCUCUGUUUUGGGUUGUGUUUGGAAAUGAACAUAGAAAGCUGAGGUUUUAGUGCCUUGUGUUUGGUUGAACCAACAUGUUUUCCACUGGUUUCAUUUGGAUAAUGUAUGUACAAGUGGAUGGUUGAAAAUUAUAGCAACACCACGUGUGAUUUCAUUGUGUUUAUGGUUUGUGGGAGAAUUAGAUUUGCUAGUUAAUUUGAUGGUUUGAUUGGUUCGACCAUUGGUAUAUAACCGAAUAUAGAGAAAAUUAUUGUAAAUUGAUGAUAAUAAAAAUGAGGGAAAAUCGAUGGUCUGGCUUUAUGCACCAAAUUGCAUUCCUUAAUCCUUUGAAAUAUUUGAGAAUAAAGAAACCAAAUUGCACCACUACCCCAACUAUAAACAUGCACAUUGGACAGGCUUUGUUGGUUUUUUAAGUUUUCGAGUUAUUUUGUUUUGGAUAUUUUGGAUUUGGAUUGUUUUAAGUUCAAAUCUAUUUGAUACUGACCCAACUUCAGUUCAUAACAUUUCCUCAAUACAGUUCUUCUCUGUGGCUCCUCCUAAUCACUGAGUACUUGCCGGUGGUGUUAACGGUUCUACUUCCGAUAUCACGGCUGAGUACUUUUGGACUUAAAGAUUAUUGACUUUGCUAAUAACAGACUUAUUGGAACCAUGCCUGCAAAUUAAUAUCACCGUCCAGAAGCUUGGACAUUGACCAGAAAGCAAUCGUAUUGGUAGAAGAUAAUUCAACUUAUUUAAUCGAAAAAAAAAAGUAUACACAUAUUACAAGCAAAAUAAGAAGGGGAGAACACAACCAGCAAAAACAGCAUACAGUGGAAACAAAAACCAGAAACUGGAUAAUACAAGGAAAGAGAUAGCUAAGUACCUCUUUUAACUUAUUCUCUACUCCUUAAUCCCAUGCUGGGUCCUCCUCCUUUGGUUCUGCUUUGCUCUCCUCCCAUGCUUUUUUGUUUCACGACCAAGACGAGGGAAAAGCCUGGAGAGAGCACAAUCGAUACGCUCGAAAUACCAGAUCCUCCAUCUCUUCCAACAGAUAAGAGGUACAAUGAUAAUUCCCAACCCAGAGAUAAGAGGAAAAUGAUAAUUCCAAUAGAUUCUCAAAUGAAGCUUCUGAAAAUGAUCGAAGUUGGGUGCUUGUUGGGAUUGGACCCACUAGCUUAUUAUUUGAGACAUUAAGACAUGAAAGGAAAUUGAGGUUUGCUAGCUGCAAAGGGAUCUCACUGCGUAGGCUGUUGCUUGAGAGGUCCAAGGACUCAAGUUCUUGCAGGUUUCCGAAAGAUGAUGGGAUUGGACCUGUGAAAACAUUAUGCGAAAAGUUAAGGCAAUGAAGUUCUUUGAAUUUGCCGAUUACGUCUGGUAUUGACCCUUCAAAGUUGUUGCAUGAAAUGCCAAUGGAGGUAAACAAUAUUGGGAUCUUCACCAGCUCCAACUCUAAACCUUUGGUGGUAAUUGUUAUUGCAUCUUGUUAUUUAACAAUAACAUAGACUCCAAGAGCUUCAAAUUGGAGAUAUUGGAGCUCUGAUUGGUUUUUAUCCGGAUUAGACUGCAUAGCAUCCAACGUCCUCAAACAUGUCAGAUGCAGUUUACCACUAAAAUUAUUGGAUGCUAAGUCUAAAAUAUGAAGCAUUGGCCAUCCACUAUUAUUUCCAGAACAAUCAAUGUGACCGUUGAAUUUGUUGGAACGUAAAACAAGGACACGCAACGUGGCUAUAUUCUUCAAAUGGCAUGGGAACGAGUCGUUGAUAUGAUUGUUGCCAAUGUCUAAAAGCUUCACCAUUUUGCAAUUCACCAAUGAUUUUGGAACCUUUCCUUCCAAUCGGUUUUGAUUGAGAUUGAGAGUUUGUAACCGACAACUUUUUGAAAAAGUGUCAGAAAUUAUGCCACUGAGAUUACUUCGCCUUAGAUUCAAUACCCAAAGUGAUCUACUUAUCUGAAAUAGGCAUUGAGGAAUUGGACCACUCAGGGAAUUAUUAGACAGAUCAAGUACUUCAAGACAUUUACUGUUGCAUAUCGACUCAGGGAUACUCCCUUGAAUGUUAUUAUUUGAGAGGGAGAAGAAAAAAGCAUACUGGAGGGAGUCACCAAUCUGAGCUGGUAAAACAGAGUUGAAAUUAUUGUUUGAGUAAUCCAAAUAGGCGGCAUUUGAUAGAAUUGGUAUUUCCCCUUGCAAUUGGUUACCAUGCAGGUCAAGAAUCUCAAGACUAGAAGUUAUGUUCUUCAAAGGUCUUUCGAAUCCUACAAGAAAGUUCUGAAAAAGAUUUAGGCGCGCAAGAUCUAUUGGUUUCCAAAUCCAAUCGGGUAUUUCUCCCAUGAAUUUGGUUUUUUGAAAGGUCUAGGACGUGUAAACUAAUCUGAUUUUUUAGGAAACCAGGGAACUCUGUUAAGUUACAAGAUGCCAAAUCUAAUUCGGCAAGUGUGGGGAAAGAAAGUGAAGAAAUAUUAGUAGUAGUGGCAUCAAUAGACCACCUGUUAUAUGAAAGACCAAGAGCAGACAUAUUCCUCAGGUUUUGAAAGGCACUCACUGGUAUCAAACCGCUGAAGUUGUUUGAAGAAAGAUUCAGUGAAGUGAGACCAUGGAGUUCAAACACAAACAUUGGAAAUUGCCCUUGUAACAUGUUGUUGCUAAGAUCAAGGGUAUUAAUCAGUGAAGAGGCCUUACCAUGAAAGUCACCAAUGCUGCCAUUGAAUUGAUUAUGAGAAAGGCUAAGUGUCCGCAGUGAUGAAAUGCCUAACAAAGUUGGUGAUAUGGUUCCGCUUAGCUUGUUGUUUCCUAAGCCAAUAAUUUCUAGCUUAGAAAAACCUGUCCAGUCAGUGGAAUGAAUUGUGCCAUUUAACUGAUUAAGAGCAAGUAUUAGCUCUCUAAGAUUUAUGGAUGAUGAGAAAGAUGGAAUGGGUCCACUGAAGUUAACGCUACUAAGACUAAGGCAAGUCAGGUUUGGGAAUUUUGUAAAGAAUUGUGGAAUCAAACCAGACAAGUUGUUUCUGUCCAAGCGAAUUACCGAGAGAGAUCGAAGCCUGGAAAGUGAAGAAUGUAUAGGACCUGAAAGAUAACAGUCGGACAUGCUCAACACUUGCAACUCAGUCAAUGGUGAUAAGGCUUGACACCAUUCAUUCCCCGUAGCUGAUAUAUUUACGCCAUCAAGAUAGAGAAAUCUUAGCUUCGUGAGAUUUUGAACAAGCGUCUUUAGAUUUGGCUUCUCAAGUUUCAAAGGUGUUCCAAAUAAUGUAUCAAUAGAUAAAUCGAGAGUGACCAACCUUGUCAAGCGUGAAAUCUCAAUUGGAAUUUGCCCUGUAAAGCCAGCUUCAGACAAAUUAAGAUAUCUCAAAUUCUCCAACUUAUCAAAUAUAGUAGGAAAAGCGGUCAUGAACUGAUUUAAGGCCAAAUUGAGUUGCCGAAGAUGUUGAAGACGGAAAAGACUACUUGAAUCGUCAAUUGGACUUGAAAUUUCUCGACCGCUCAAAUCAAAAUCGAAACAUGACCACCAGCAUCGCAACUUACACCCUCCCAGGAACAACAAUCCGUGGUUUGAUUCCAUUUCAUCGGCCUUUCUAACAGGGUAGGAAAUGCAGUAGGAUUGAAGUUGCUGCUCAAAUUCAAUUCUAGCAACAACUGUUUCUGAUCAUUUUGGCAUUGACCAGAAACUAAAAUCAAGUUACUAAUGCUAAGGAGAAUUGCAAAAUAUGAAUUGAAUAAGAGCCAUGAAAGCAGUAAAAUCCUCAGUUUUUUUUUGGUGAUGUUAUUGAAAGAUCGAGGAUAAUUGUAAGGGAUUUUCAUGGUAUAAAGAAAUGGAGGGAGGGGGAAAGCUAGGAUGCUCUAGGAGUAUGAAUGCUCAAUGGUUCGGUGUAGACCAAAAACAUAAACUGCUGCGGCAUGACUUGCAUGGUUGUGUUGUAGGAAGACUAAAACAAGUGAAAUUUGAAACUGGACAAGAAAAUUGCAUGCCUCUGUCCCUUUGUAUAAAACAUUAAUGAUUUUGGUUUCAGUCAUGCUGGAAAUUAUGGAAGGCUUGUUGAAUUUCAUUACAUAUGAAACGUUAUGUAUCAUCUAUUAUCCCUCUUUGUCUUUUUCUUCAAAAACCUUUCCCCAAGAAAUUUCUUCCAAGUAACACUAAUUUGAUAUUAUUAGUGUCUCAAAGCCUGCAAAGUUUUUUUUAUCAUUAGGAUGACUAAGUCCCAGGGAGAUCGUUAGCUUGUUAGUAGGAGUAGGAAGCUAAAAUUUAUUUAAGUUUGUUACUUGAGUCAUGUAUAUAAGCAUUGUUUGGUUAAUGAAUUUGAUAUCCUUCCCCCAUUCUUGCUUUCUAUGCUUCAUUUAGUUCUCAACUAAAUUAAUAGUGGUAUCAGGAGCCCCUUUUCUUGAGGGAUCCGUGAGAGAAGCUCUAUGAGAAUCUUGAGAAAAAAAUUAAGAGAUACACUUAUGAGGAAUUGAGAAAAAUGGAAUCAAAAUCAAGUAACAUGUUUGUUUUAACCCCACAUGUGUUUGAUAGAGAAAACUAUCAAGCAUGGGUUGUGAAUGCAAGCAUACAUAGAGGGUUGUGAUUAUUAGGAAACUAUCAAGGAAGACUAUGAGGUGGCUCCACUUCACAAUAAUCCAACUAUGAACCAGAUCAAACUGUACAAUGACAAUGAGAGAACCACCAUGAAGGAAAAGGCAAAGGCUUGCCUUUAUGCUUCUGUUUCACCAACCAUAUUCAAUAAAAUUAUGGUUUUUGGAUCAGCAAAGGAGAUAUAGGGCUACCUCAAGAUUGAGUAUCAAGGAGAUGAGAGGAUCAAGAGCAUGAAGGUGUUGAGCUUAAUCAGGAAAUUCGAGAGGUUGUAGAUGUAGGAGUCUGAGUCAAUCAAAGAAUUCUCAAACAAGCUGAUAGAUAUUGCGAACAAGGUAAGGGUUCUCAAGGCUGAUCUCUCUAAUUGUAGACUAGUGCAGAAAAUACUAAUCUUUGUGCCUGAGACGUAUAAAGCAACAAUUGCUUAUUUGGAGAACACUAAGAACUUGACUCAGCUGAGAGUAAUGGAGUUGAUCAGUGUUUUAUAAGCAGAGGAGGCUACUGUGGGAAGAAGGAAGCGUAAAAGAAGCAUUGAAGGCUAAGAUGCAGUAGGGUGAAGGAUGAAAGGACAAGAAGUUGAAAGGGAAGAAGAGUGAUGGUGAUAAUGGUUCAGAAGUUGUUGCAAAAGGUAAUGGUGUUGGAAAUUUCAAUAAGUACUCUUCAUGUAAGUACUAUGGAAAGUAGAACCACCCCUGUUUCAGGUGCUAGGGAAAGUCAGAUGUGAAAUGCAGAAUGUGCAACUUGAUGGGGGAAUAUUGAGAGGUUUUGCAAGGAAACAAGAAAUAAGCAUUAAGGUGGAGCACAUACUACAGUUAAAGAAAAAGAAGGCUAGUUGUUUGUUGUCUCUUACUUCUUAUCAAGCAUUCCAUGUAAUAGUUGGUUAGUUAAUAAUGGUUGCACCAAUCACAUGACUUAUGAUGAGAAGCUAUUUAAAGACCUUGACAGAUCCACUUAUUUUGCCACUGUAUUUGGUUUUUCAACAAGAGACGAAAUUCAGGUCACACAAUCUCUAACAAAAUCUUAUAUAAUACUUAAAAUGAAUUAGUGUAUAAUACUCCCAAUCUCAUAAUAUGAAGGGCUGUCUUUUUUAGUAGUGGCAAUAUGCACAUUAUCUUCAAAGGAGUUCCACAUAAUUCAGUAUUGUUCUCAAAUGAAGCUUCUGGAAAUGAUCGAAGUUGGGUGCUCGUUGGGAUUGGGCCCACUAGCUUAUUAUUUGUGAUGUUAAUAAAUGAAAGAAAAUUGAGGUUUGCUAGUUGUAAAGGGAUCUCACUACGUAGAUUGUUGCUUGAAAGGUCCAAGGACUCAAGCUGUUGCAGGUUUCCAAUAAAUGAUGGGAUUGAUCUUGUGAACGCAUUAGGUCUACGAAUCUCUUUGAAUUUGCCAAUUACUUGUGGUAUUGACCCUUCAAAGUUGUUUGUUGCAUGAAAUGUCAUUGAAGGUUAAGACAAUGAGGAUUUUCACCAAACUCCAACACUAAACCUUUGAGAGUAAUUGUUAUUGCAUCUUGAUAUCUCGAUCGACUUCUAGGACAACAAAUUAGAGAUAUUAGACCAUGUGUAAAAUGUGGAUUUAGUACAUGUACUUUAACUUGAUCAAUUUAGUCCUUAUAUUUUUUGAAUUUUGAAAAUUUAGUUUUGACCCAAUGGUAUUAGUUAAAUAUAUUUGGUUAAAUUAUGUCAUUAGUCAUGUAUUAUGCAUAAAGUUAUAGAUUUAGUUCACGUUCACCAAUUGGAUCAUUCUGAGUGACUAUAUUUUUUGAAUUUUAAAAUUUUAAUCUUAAUGCAAACGUUAGUUGUUAAAUCUAUUAACUAAUUUUUUGUAAGUAAUAUGUGAAAAUAACAAACAAAAAUAGCAUUUCACAUGUGAUAAUAUGUUUGACACAUCAAAUUUUAAAAAUAAUAGAACUUAACUUAUUAAGUUUAAUAGUUAUCAUUUAGUUAGAACUAAAAUAUUUAAAUUUUAGACAGAAAAUGACCAAAUUAAAGUAAAAGUACAAAAUCCACAACUUAAGUAAUUUACAGGGUCUAAUAGCAAAUUUGACCAAUCAGAAACAUUAAUCGGAGUUCAUCAAGCAGCCCAUUUAUAGACAACUGGUCCAAAAUUUAGCCCAUCAUUUAGAAGGUAUAGCUGGAUCAUAAAUAAGCCCUAGGGUUUAUCUAUAUAAUGGUGUAAACCCGAUGAAGCAGCAUCUUCUACCAGCUUUAGCUUUUUCCCGCGACUGUAAGCUUUUCGUCAUCACAUCACCAUGAGAGCCAAGGUAAUUUUAUGAAUCCCAUCCCACUCAGAUGAUUGCACUGCGUAGUACAUUUCGUCAUGCUAAAAUUUAUUCAAUAUUAUUAUCAUUUUAUGGGUUUUCAUUUGUUUUUUUGGGUGUAUUCUUCUUAAACAGUGGAAGAAGAAGCGUAUGAGAAGGUUGAAGAGAAAGCGCCGAAAGAUGAGGCAGAGAUCCAAGUAGACAGUGAAAUCUGUGGGUUCUGUUUUAGUUUUUGGUUUACUUUCUUAUUUCGAUCUUUUGAAUCGGUGUUAAUCCAGCAGUGGAUGGUUUUUGGAUUUUUAAAUUGUUGAGAACAGUUUACUGAUUAAUAUAGAAUGGGUAUUUUUACAAGUAUUGUGUUUCUGCUUUAUUCUGAUUAUUGAUUAGGUGUAUUCACAUUGAUUGCAAAUGUUGAUGAAUCAAAGUAUUAUAUAGCUCAUGACAAUCACUCUGUAGAGAAAGUAAUAGAAAAUACUUAAAAAAGUACCUGAUAUAUAGGAAGCUUUGGAUGAUUUGUUCUUAGAUCUCUUUUGUUUGGAAUCUUUCAUUCGCAGCACAGAUUGGGUUUGGAUUGAAUCCAUCCGAGUUAGGGUGUUUUAAGUUACUUCUUUUUGUUAUUUUGGGGUUUAAACUUUUGGGUAUUUUGAGUUACUUGAUUUGAGAUAAGUCAGGAUUUGGAUUUGGUUAAUUGGAUAGCGUUUUUGGCCAAAUGUAC
Molecule: long non-coding RNA, 66518 nt
Filed under: Gossypium barbadense (sea-island cotton)
Lineage: Eukaryota; Viridiplantae; Streptophyta; Magnoliopsida; Malvales; Malvaceae
Description: long non-coding RNA (GBAR_LNC001024)
Rfam family: MIR7502 microRNA precursor family (bases 114-243)
Source: RNAcentral